RNAcentral lists this long non-coding RNA (58170 nucleotides) under Eucalyptus grandis. Its description in RNAcentral is "long non-coding RNA (EGRA_LNC002317)". The stretch from base 2705 to 2785 matches the Rfam family "MIR1846 microRNA precursor family", at positions 1 to 86 of the family's 110-position model. Lineage: Eukaryota; Viridiplantae; Streptophyta; Magnoliopsida; Myrtales; Myrtaceae. The record is from RNAcentral.
CUCCAAGCAAUCUUGCAAGCAUGCUCUGACGGAUGGAUCCAUCUCCUUGCUCUUCAGAAGCUUCUCUGUGUAAGACCUCGUGCGUGUCACGUUGUGCCGCAACAGCUUGAUGGAGACGAGGCCGAGCCCCCGGAGGUUGUCGCAGUGGCAGUACGGGUUCGACUCGAGCGACGCGACGCAGAACUUGUAGCUGACGUUGGGGUCUUCUUGCGCGCAUUUCUUGCACGUUUCGUGGAUUAUGAUGGUGCUGCCGCCAUCUGCAGAUGCAGCGUGGACGGAGGUGAGGAAGAAGAUGAGGAGUAGAGAGACCGAAGGACAAGGACUCAUUUUUCGUUUUCUUGUUGAAUGAGUUUUAUCACGUCUCAGGGAGGAGCAAUGAUUUAUUAGAGGAUAAUCUUUGCAUCUAUUCAUGCGACGAUGCCAAAUUGGAGCGCUAAUUUAUUUUAUCUCUCCAAUGCGUGGGUAAGACGCAUGAUAUAAGCAUCCAUAUGUCGGCCACUCACGAUGAGGCCAGUUUAAUACGUAUGACUCUGGAACUUAUCUAUACAAUAGACUUUCUCGUAACAAAAAACAAAAAAACAAAAAAAACAAAAACAACAAGAAAAAAACAAAAACAAAAACAAAAAACAAGAAAGCUUAUGUAUACGAAUAGAGGAAUUUUUCAAGAUAUGUGCAUUACCCAUCCUCCAAAUAAAAUAUGCCAGACUUUUUGUUCAAGUCUAGGCUGGGACCUUGUCAGUCACAAUUGAGGGUUGUCUAGGCGAGGGCGAGGACCGUUGCCCAAAUCCAGGUAAGGGUGUCGGGUCCUAGCCUGAGGCUGGCAAGGAUCAUGCCUCGCUCCUCGCCAACCUCAAGUGAGGCCUGUGGCCUGACUGAUGCCCUCGCCAGCCCACAGUUGGGGAAAAAAAGAAAGGAAAUAACAAUUUCAUUUGGAUGAAGGAUAGUACAUAUAUCUUGAAAAAUUCCACGAUUGUAUAUGUGACCUUUUUUUCUUACAAGAAAUUCUACUGUAUAGAUAAAUUAUAGAUUCAUAGGUAUUCUACUGGCCUCAUUAAGAGCAGCCUACACAUAUAUUGUGUGACUAAUUCACAAGAAAAUAUUAAGUAUAUCGUCUUAUCACGUAGGCAAUAAACACACCCCAUUCAACGCUCGCGCACGUGUCUAGGUGGCUCCACUGGUCAAUCCUUUCGUCUUCUUCACUGUUUCUUUCUUUUUUCUUCUCUUUUCUUAUUGGCCUGUGGUCGGCAUUUUGCCAUGACCGAUGAUAGGCCACAACCAAGGGUCUAGGGUCUAGCCCUCGCGGUGAGGGCUAGGGUGAGGGCGAGGGCGAGGGUGAGAAAGCAAUGAGUGGGCUAACGACCGAGGAGGAGCCAUCGGUGAAGAAGCGAUCGGACAUCCAAGUGGUGUUGAAGGCUUUGUUGGAGCCGGUGGCAGAGCCACAUUCGAUGUGGAAGGAGACAUUGCCGACACAGAGAAGAAGAGGAAGUUGAAGCGGACAGGAGGAGUAGGAGAGAUUAAGAGAAAUUUUGACACGUGAGUCCCACUUGGACACGUGACAAUUAAUGAGUAGAGGGUUUUACCGUCUACGUGACAAGACCAACCUGUCUUAAAUAAUAUGCUAAUUAGAGAUUUUGAGCCAUGUUUUGCUUGUAGUGGUUCUUCCUUCCCUUUAAGGAAAUGAAUUAUGAAUAAUAAUUUAUGAUCGAUCGGCCCGUAGCUCCAUUUUACACUCUUUUCCCGUUCUAAAACGGAAUUGGCCAUUUAAGUUUGUUUUGUAAGUUUAACCAAAAUCACGGAGAAGAGAAAAAUAAAAGAAAAAAGGGGAGGGGGGUGUCAUUUCAGAAAGGAUGGCAUCAUUCUCAUGAAAGAGCCUCCUAAUUGAUAGAUGUGCUGUGCAAAUACAGCCCUUCUUGAUUAAUCUUCAUUUCAUAACUCUCUCGAGGGUUAUCCCUAUUAGAAUUAUCCUGGUUAGAAGCCUAUGUCGACGGCGACGAUUAAUAAAGAGUUUGCAUUACACUGAUGAAAGCAUUCGAUCAGCCAACUUAUAAAUUCUCCAUUUAUGCUCCGUUCGUUUCGCGGAAAAUAACUUCCGGGAAAAUAUUUUCCGAAAUUUCCGGUGUUCGGAUGGCGGAAAACACACGGUCAAUGGAAAAUAUUUUCCGGUCAACGGAAAAUCCCUCUUGAAUGAGCGGAAAAUGUUUUCCUCUUUUUGAAAAGAGGAAAACAUUUUCCGCAGCUCUCACAUGAGCUCUGGUGCUCCCGCUGCUCUUUCCUCCCUUCAUGUUCUCGUUCUCUCUCUCUCUCUCUCUUUCUUGCUCUCCCUGCAGAGGAGGCUUCGACGACGUCCUUCCUCGGGAUCAGCCUCCGCCCUCCCCGGCCGCUCCUACCCGCCUGCUCCAGCCGGGAAGCCGCCGCCGCCGCGCUCCGCUUCCCCGGCGGCUCGAAGCCGCUCGGGAGAAUCCGGCUCAAGAGGGAGCACCGCGGAGGCGCCGGGAGGCUCGCGGGGAGCCCGCCGUCCAGGCCGCUCGUCGUGCGGCCGCGAGCCGUGAGCUCGUCGGAUCUGGCGGCGGAGCUCGCGGCUCGCCGGAUCUAGCGGCAGAGCUCGGGCUCCCGAUCCGGGCGAGCUCGAGCUCUGUCGCCAGAUCCAGCGCGCUCGGGUGAGAUCGGCCGAGCCUCGAGCUCACCGGAUCUGGCGGCGCAGCUCGCGGCUCGCCGGAUCUAGCGGCAGAGCUCGGGCUCCCGAUCUGGGCGAGCUCGAGCUCUGUCGCCAGAUUCGGCGAGCCGGGUGCGUCUGUCCAGCUCGAUCUCACCCGAGCUCGCCGGAUCUAGCCACCGGGUCUUGGUCGGCCGCUGGGAGGAAGGAGGUGGCGGCGGCGGAAGUCGCUCGGGAGAAAGGAGGUGGCGGCGGUGGAAGCUGCUUGGGAGAAAGGAGGCCACAGCGGACGACGCCGCUCGGGAGGAAUCGGGAGGAAGAAGGAGAUGGAAGGAGGAAGGAAAAAAAAAAGAAAUAAUAAAUAAUAAAAAUUUCUAUUUUAAAAAAUAUAAAUAAUUAAAAAAAUCAUUUUAAAAAAAAUAUAAAUAAAUAAAAUAAAUUUUUGGGUCAAUUAAAAAUAUUAAAAUUCAAUUUUUAAUAAUUUUUUCUAGGAAAAUGUUUGAGCUAACGAACAGUGGAAAAUAUUUUCCACUCAAAUUUUAGAUGUUGGCCGAACACCGGAAAAUAGAGUCAUUUUCCUGGAAAAUGACUUCCAGGAAAAUGUUUUCCGGAAACAUGAUAUUUUCCAUGAAACGAACGGAGCCUUAGUGCAAAGAGUUCUAUGCCGUCAUCAUUCGUUCUGUUGCCCUAGCCCGUCAUUAUCAACAUUUCAUGUUUGUGCUUGUCAUCUUAUGUAUUUGUCAUAUCCUUAAUUUACUUCUCAUCCUUAUAAUGGCCUUCCUCCAAUUUUUUGUAUGUACAAAGUUAAAUUCGUGCGUAGCUUUAAAAUGACAUCGAUCAUCGACUGAAGAUUUUCUCAGAAGUGGAAGAAGCAAAAAUGAAACCGUGGGGGGAGAGAGAGAGAGAGAGAGAGAGAUUGUUCGAUGAGGUGAUGUGCGGAGGGAGGCUCCGCCACUUAAACCCCGAAUUUAAGUGGCAUUUCCUAAUUCGGUUUUUUAAAAUUUUAAUUUUCUUCUUUGACAUUGCCCUUUGACUCACCCAAAAUUCAUGGAGUGAGUAAAGUGAGUUGAGAUUUUACAUUGUGAAAAGAAUUACAGCUCUAUUAAAACGACAAAGCUUGAAAAUUACAUGUUCCUCUCUUAAGUGUAACAUAAUCCAAUUCGAUCCCCUAAAAAAAAACGGAUUAAAUCUCUUGGUGGCUGGUUUAUCAUCUCAUACAAGAUUAUCACAGCAUUAUUAGACUUGAUGAUCCAAUUAGCUAGCCAAUCUGUACAUGCAUUUUCCUUUCUAUUAUUAUGGAGAAUACUAACCCGUUGAAAAUAUAUGGUCAUAUUUUUCAAUUUGAGAAAUGAGUGUGUCGCCAAAAUGAAGAGAUUGAGUUGAAUAUUGAAGUCACUUGCUAUUCAACCUCCACAACAAAUUUUGGUAACACACACUGCCACCGUCUGCACGAAUGGAGCAAUCCAAUUGCCUUAAUCAUCAGAAAUGAGUCCACUUAUGGAAGCUCAACUCGAGUUGCCUUUAAAGGUCCCAUUGGAAUUGAAUUUGACCAACUAGAAUGAGGGGGUCCAACCUUUGAACCAACUAGAAUGAGGGGGUCCCAACCCACAAACUUUACUUAAAUUUUCUUUUCGAGGGCACAUUAUCUUGUUUCUACCAUCCUAAUGGGCAAGAAUAUCCUUAACAAUAUCCUUAACAUAUCCUAAGAUCAAAUUCACAGGCACACUGGAAGAAGAGAAAUCCUUCAGGGAUAGCCUUUGGUUCCUCUAGGUUCACAAAUGCUAGCGAGUUACACCAAAUACUAGCACCCAAUAUAUGGCGAAUUAUAUAUAUAUAAACUAAUCAAAUCAUAAUAAUAUGGGAAAAUUUUAAAGAAAGACCCAAAGUGCUCUUAAUUUCUCAAAUAGGGGCCUGAAAUGAAUCUUGUCUCAAAUAGAGGUCUCAAGUGCCAUUAUUUUCUCAAAUAAGUAUUUAAAGUGAACCUUAUUUCAAAUAAAAAUCUGAAGUAGGCAUCCCAGUCUAAAAAAAGAACCUAUCCUCUCAAGCUAGUCAAUGGCAUUUUCCUUCCUUUUGGCUUUUUUUUUUUGGUAACUCAAGGAACCCCGUAAGCCGAUAGCCGGCGAGCAAACUCUGGAGGAGCGACUGCAGGACCCACCACCACAGUACUCCAGGUAAGAAUCCCUAACAAUGCCUCUGAGAUUCGAACUCCGCCCCUUCGUAAGGGGGAGAGAGCCCAAGCCAGCUGCGCUGUUAUAGGCGGUGGUUAUUAAGUUAUAAUAAACUUCCUUUUGUUUUGCUUUUUUGUAUUUUUAAUUUUUUUCUUUAAAAUCAUGAAUUCAAAGAAAAGGCUAAAAAACUUUUAAAAAAAAAAACAUAACAAAACAUAACUUCUACAAAAAAAAAAAAAUUCCAAGCGUCAGUUGAUGGCUACAAGCGAUAGAGGCUUGUUGGCCUCCCACUUUUUCUUUCUUUUUAAGAUUUAGUCUUUUUUAAUUUUUUAAAGAGAAAAACAGAUAAAGGAAAAAUGACAGAAAAUAAGAAAAUGUAAAUAUGAAAAUGCCCGUGAUCAGCUAGUGAGGUCAAGUCAUUUUUUGAAAUUAAUAUGGUCACUUCAGAUCUUUAUUUGAGAAAAUGAGAAUAUUUCAGGUCCUAAUUUGAGACAAGAUUCACUUUGGGUCCUUUUUAAAGAAAUUAAGGAUACUUCGAGUCUUUAUUUGUAAUUUUUUUCUAAGAAUAUUUGUUUUCUUGGGUUGAGAAGAUGAAUUUGAAUUGACAUGUAUUAUGCGUUCGUUGGACCAUGUAUAAGAGUGUGCAACACCUUAUUCAAAUCAAUCGAGUAUUAAGAGAUUUUCACCCAUUUCACUUGAGAGAAAAGCUUAAUGUGGUUAAAUUUAAGAAUUUGAGCCGUUAAUGAUAUCUAGGAUAUAUCUUCCCGAUAUAUAAAUUUUAAAAUCUUCAAUCCCAAUGUGACUCUCCACCUUAGAGUGGAAGAUGAACUUAGUCCAGUACAUGCCUAAAUGAAAAUAAAAAGGACAACAAGAGGAGCUUGUUUAAGGGUAUAACUGGAGACAUAAUUGAAAAAAUACACCAAAAUAUCCUAUUUUUAAACGGGCAACACAACAUAAAACAACAUAGGAAAAGCCUGUUUUUCCCAAGUUUUUAGUAUCACCAAUCUGAAAAUAAUAUUACUUCAAUUUCCUUAGACAUUUUCGGGGAAAAGUACCAAAAAAGUCAUAAACCUUUUGUAUUAGUACCAAUUCAGUCAUAAAUUUUUUAAUUUGAUCAAUGUAGUCCUAAACAUUUUCACAUUGGUACUAAUUCAGUCUAUCUGGCUAAUUUAAGCCAAAAAUUGCUGACGUGGCCGUUGGCGGUUUAUGUGGUGCCACGUGGAUAAAAUUUAUAAUUUUUUAAAUUAUUUUUUUCUUUUUUUCCUUUUCCCCUCUCUCUCUCUCUCUCUCUCUCUCUCUCUCUCUCUCUCUCUCUCUACCCCUUACACCUUGGCCGGCGAGGACGUCGGCCACAGGCCAGUUGGGGUGAGGGCCCCUGCGCCCUAAAUUGGCCAUUGGGGAGGGCCGUCGUGCCCUUGCCAGCCACAAGCAAGGGCGUCGACCCCCGCCUAGAUCCAAGCGAGGGCCAAAACCCUCGCUCAUUGGUUGGCGAGGGCCUCUGUGCCCUCGUCGAUAGCAGGCAAGGGCCACGGUGGCCUCCCUUGUGGCAUUGCAGCUCUCACCCACCACAAGUGUGGGCCUUCGUGCCCUCGCCUGUGGCUAACGAGGACGCGACGACCCUCUUCGAGGACGCGGAGGCCCUCACCCUUGGCUAGCGAGGGUCGCUGCACCCUCUCUUGUGGUCGACAAGGGCGCAGAGGCCCUCACCAACCAAUGGGCAAGAGUUUUGGCCCUCGCCUAGAUCUGGGCAAGGGCCAACACCUUGUGGCUGGCGAGGGCGCAGCAUCCCUCGCCUCAACUAGCCUAUGGCCAACGAUGGUUAGUCAACAACCUUGCCAGUGAAGGGGUGAGGAGAAAGGAAAAAAUAAUAAUAAUAAUAAUAAUUUAAAAAAUCUUUAAAAAAUAUUUAAAAAAUUAUAAAAUUUGUCUACGUGGCACCACAUAAGACCGCCAGUUGCCAUAUCAGCAAUUUCCGAUUUAAAUUAGUCGGAUGGACUGAAUUGGUACUAAUGUGAAAAUAUUUAUGACUAAAUUGGUCCAAUAAAAAAGUUAAGAAUCGAAAUGGUACUAAUGCAAAAGGUUUAUGACUAUUUUGAUACUUUUCCCGACAUUUUCCUUAAAAAUGUAAUUUGUGGAAAUACAUAUAGGAUGGAGCUUAAGGUCUGUUGCGUCGAGGAUAGCCUUCGAUUGUGAGAAAACCACUGGCUCGUUCAAGGGGUUGUAGCUCGAGAGCGACAAUGCAAUCGAAGCCUAGGGCGAUUAAGAUCUAGCCGAGAAAGUCGGGGAUGUGACCAUUGCUCCGCAAGCCUCCCGAAGCUGAGAUUGUCAUUCUUGUGGCUUAUUUUCUUGUUUAUGUAAGAAGCCCAUUUCUAAGUCUUGUUUGCUGCAUCUAUCAGACUUAAUCAUCAUGGAACGAGCGGACGUCUUUAAAGACAGCCUCUUUAUGUUGGAGCAUAUGCAGACAAUGACCAAAAGUUGAGACCCUUUGUGAGGUCCUUCUUCUAGUGAGAUGUUUGGGAUGUACAUCGCACAAUGGGUGAUCGAUCAUGCGCCCAGGAAAUGGCUAAGCUUCUUGACCCGAGAAUAACUUGGUUCUGGAGAUAUGGAACACAAAGACACCAAAAACCUCUUUAUGUGGUGCCGGGCCAAGAAAGUUGUGUGCUGAUAUUGGAUGACAUAGAACAGGUAAGUUGAUUUCAAAAUAACUUCCAAACACAUUACUGUAUGGUUUACGUUUCCAAAUAAUUUUUUAUGAAGACGAUAGUAGGUCCUCUUUAAAUUUUCCGAGAUCAAUUUUGGAUGGGGUUGCUCGGGAUUAGUGUUCGAUUGCUUUGCUAUUUCCUUUUCUCUUUUGCUGCGGGGGUUUGACGUCAAUCUUUGUUUCCUUGUGUUUGCACAUUUUAAAUGUGGUUGCAUGAGGACUGUUGUUCUGUUUUGUUUUGCUGCCCUUUUUUGGGGUUUGGCUAGGAGGGUUCUGUUGGGAAUGACUGAUCCCCGAAAAACCGGAUUCGACACUAAAUCGAACCCCUAAAUCAAUGUGGAAGACGAGCCCGAGAAAAAUAACACGUAUCACCGAUCCUAAAGCACACCACGGAUUCGAGCGUACCUUUUAGCCACAGAUUAGACACCGACGCCGUUAGAGGAAGAGAAACUUGAUUCUGUUCGAUCCGGUGAAACAAAUUGGCCUACGCGCUUCACUGUUUUCCUUUUUGCUUUGAAGAAAACAAGAGAGAGAGGGAGUGUUCGUUGAGAGAAAAACGUACGUCUUUUUCUAAAACAAAACGGUGUAUUUUUCUCUCUCUCUCCUCCCUUUUAUACCUCUUUCCUUCCACGGGCCCUAUUCCUGUGGGCCCGGCUUUCUGGGCCCAACUUGGGCGGACGGGCCUUAAGCCCAAUACUAAUAAGGCCUUCAUCUCCCACUCGCACAUGGUGGGCCGAACAGGAUUCUCUUUACCUCUUUUCAACAUUCAUACCGGUGAAUAAUCCGUGCGACCAGCAUACUUUGAGAGCUCGUUGCUAUACAUCUGUUAGGAAUAUAUAGCAGCUCAUAAUGGGCGUCACACUCCGAGUAGACUUAGUAUGCAGUACCCUAGAUCGAUCGAUCACAUUUAUAUCUCUCUUGAUCUCCUUUAAACAACGAUAUAUAUAUUAUAUUCACAAUUACAGUUAUCACAAAGACAAUCAUAAUUGGUCGACUAGUGAAUACAAAAACUACAAUGUGAUUCUCCAAAAUCGAUCUUCCUCUUUCCUUCAAACUCUCAAUUUCAGUUCAGCUUGCUUUUCUAGAAAUGUCCCAUUAGAUCGAAUCAACUCAUGACCAUUGGCAACAUCCUAAGAUAGCAAACACUAAAUAGAAACCUUGAGAAUAAUUAAAAGUCAUGAGGGCACUAAAAUUGAGGAACUCUUUUCCUCAAGAGUCUCACACGUCAUAAAAGUUGAGAUCAAACUUUUUGCCACUCUUAUUGGUCGGCUCAUGCAUACGUAGUAUGAAAUACGUAUUACGGUAUUAACUCCUUUCCCAUGGAGCGUAUGUCUACACCUUUCAAUACCAUACAGAUGAUAGUUCAGACAUACCCAAUGUCUAACUUAAGUUCACGUAUCUACUCUUUUACAAAAAUCAUCAGAACUCGCAUCUAGCAUCUUAGACAGAUAAAGUAAAAUAUGUGGGGUAUUUUACUUUCGGACAUAGUAAGUAUUAUGUCCUCAUCUUAACACUCAGUUAAGGCGACAUGCGUAUUUUAAGCUUGAGCUCUCGAUUAUCACCUAGAUAAUAAGCUUAAAAACAGUCUCAUCUCUAUUUAUCACAGUAAAUAGAGGCGAUUACCCGUGUGAGUGGGCUAAUCUUAUAUCUGUCCGACAUACUUCUCUUAACUUAAAGUAAUGCACUGAGCAUUAAGAUGCAUAAAGAUCAAACAAAGAUUCAUAGGCAUUAAUGAUGAAAACACAAAUUCAUCAAAUGUGAACACUUAGGGAAAUUACAAUAUUCAGUACAUCAGCCUCUACACAAUCCUAGAGAUUUCAUAUGGCCACAAAACACAUCUCUGGGUAUUGGCUUUGUCAUAGGAUCUGCUACCAUUCUAUGCGUAGUAUGUACUCUAAGUUCACAUCUUUUCGUGCAAUCAUAUUCUUGACAAAAGUAUACUUUGUAUAUAUAUGUUUGGUUUUGCCAUGAUAUUUUGGAUCUUUGGUGUACGCUUUUGCUGCUUGGCUAUCACAGUUAACCAUCAAUGAAUCUACAGCACUUCAAAUAACACCUAAAUGAUCCAAUAAUCUCUUAAACCAAACAUCUUCUUUUAUUGCUGCUGAUAAUGCCACGAACUUAGUUUCCAUCGUAGACAAGGCUAUACACUUUUGUUUCUUACUGCUCCAAUAUAUGGUACCAUUAUUCGGUAAGAAAACAAAUCUAGAGGUAGAUUUUCUUUCAUUUAAAUCUCCUCCCCAAUCAACAUCAAAAUAGCCUUAGAGUCGUAGAUCAUUUCCUUAAUAACUUAACGUAUGAUCAGCAGUCCCCUUUAGAUACCUUAGUAUUCUCUUAACGACUUUCCAACGUGCUUGACAUAUGUCAAGUCUUGUACAUAUCAUAGCGUACAUCAAGCUCCCAACAGCACUAGCAUAAGGAACAUGUUUCAUUUGUUCCUUCUCUUGUAGAGUCCUUGGACACAGUCUAUGGCUCAAUCCUUCACCUUUUGCAAUAGGAGUGUCAAUGGGUUUACAAUCCCAUAUCCUUCAAUUCAAAAUUGGAAGACAACCAACUUUUGACAGUAUUGACAAGCUCCAUAUUGCUUCCGGCAAUUAGUAUAUCAUCAACAUAUAAUGAUAUGAUCACAAAUAGACCUUUGGAUCUUUUGAUAUAUCCUCAUCUAUCAUUGUAAAAUCAUAUGCCAUUAUGGCAUUAUGAAAACGUAUAUACCAUUGUCUUGACGACUGCUUAAGGCCAUAUAUCGACCCCCAAAGUCGACAUACCUAUUCUUCUUGGCCUUUCACUAUGAAACCAGCAGGUUGUUCCAUAUAUAUUCCUUCUUCUAAUUCUCCAUUGAGGAAAGCAGUCUUUACAUCCAUUUGAUGUAACUCAAGAUCCAUACUAAACACUAUUGCCAGAAUUAUGCGAAUCAAGGUAAAUCUCAUUACAGGAGAAAAUGUAUCUUCAUAAUCUAUUCCUUCCUGUUGAUUAUACUCAUUCGCCACAAGGCGAGCCUUAUGCCUUUCUAUCGAGCCAUCAGCUUUUCGCUUUAUUUUGAGAACCCACUUGUUCCCAAUAGCUUUGUGUCCUUUUGGAAGAUCAACCAGUUCCCUGACUUGGUUUGACUUCAUUGAUUCCAUCUCCUCUUUCAUUGCAUUAAUCCAUUUUUCCUUAAUAUGGCAAUUCAGAGCCUCAUUAAUAUUUCUUGGCUCAUCCUCAUCUUGUGGAGCAACCAUAAAAGUUUCCCUUUCAAUGUCGAAACGUCAACGAGGAAUACUUUGGCAACUUGUUCGCUAUAUGAGAGAAUGUACACUUAGCACAUCAUUCCCCAUUAUGCUCCCACUCGGAUUAGAUAAUGACGAUAUCAUCUCAUCAUGUGGUUGUAAUUGAGAAUGAGUUGAAUUCAAUUCAUCACUUCUCAUAUUAUUCCCACUUAGACGAACUCCACUAAUAUCAUUAUCUUGAUCCAAGGUUUCAAAUAGGGGUAAUCUUCCCCUAUUUCGCCCUUCUUAGGAAAUUCAUCCACUAAGAAUGUGACAUCCCGUGAUUCAAAUUCAGUUAUACUCCCACUUUCUUGCUCACCUAUGAACACAUACCCUUUCGAGUGUUCAGAGUAUCUCAUUAAAAUGCCCUUCUUUCCUUCAGGACUCAAUUUCCCAAACUUGUGAGAGGACUCAUAAGUAUAGACGGUAUAACCCCAUGGCUUAAGAAAACUUAUGUCCGGUUUUCUACAUGUCCAUAACUCAUAUGGAGUGGAACUAACUGAUUUGGAAGGCACCCCGUUAAGUAUAUAGACAGCAAUUAACAACACAUCACUCCAAAAAGUGAUAUGUAAGUUAGCAUGCGCCAUCAUGGACCUAACCAUUUCCAGUAGGGUUCUGUUUCUUCUCUCUGCAACACCAUUUUGUUGAGGAGUAUAUGGAAUAGAUAACUGUUUUUCUAUUCCUUUUUCAUCACAUGAUUUUCUGAACUCAUCAGAUAAAUAUUCUCGACCUCGAUCGGAUCUCAAUACUUUUAUUUUCUUGUCUAAUUGAUUUUCUUCCAAGUUCAUAAACCUUUUGAAACAACUUAUUACUUCAAAUUUAUGAGAAAUCAAAUAGACAUAUCCGAAUCGAGUAUAAUCAUCAAUAAAAGUGAUGAAAUAAACAGCCCCAUGCCUUCCUUUUACAUUCAUUGGACCACAGACAUUAGAAUGGAUUAAAUGCAGAGGAAAUUCAGCUCUUUUUCCUUUUCCAAAUGGUUUCCUUGUUGUUUUCCCUUCUAGGAAAUGCUUACAUAUGAACAAAUCGACUUUUUCAAUAUUGCCUAACAAACCCUCUUUGGCUAGUCUAUUCAUACGCUGUUGGCCAAUGUGACCAAGUCUAGCAUGCCACACAUUCACAUCAUUAUCAUAUUUAUUGGGAGACGUGAGAAGGGAAUAACAAACAUUAGCAUUAACAUAAUCAAUAUCUAAUACAAUAAAACCAUCCAGAAAAUAACCACAACCAUAGUAAUUUGUAUCCAAAAACAAAUUCACACAUUUAUUACAGAAGUUCAUAUUAAAACCUAGUCUAACCAACACUAAAACAGACACUAAAUUCCGACGAAUCUCCGGAGCAUACAAUACAUCAUGAAGGAACAAAGUGCGUCCACCACGCAUAUUCAGUUGGCAUGUGCCAAUUCCUUUCACUUCAACUCUGGAGUUGUUUCCCACAUUGAUCCACUUAGUUCUAGUUGGUACUCGUCAGAAUUCCACGAAGGAUCCUCUAUCCUUCGCUACAUGGUCCGUCGCUCCUGAAUCCACAGUCCACAAAGGAUUAGACUCAGUUAAGAACAUAGAACUCGACACAAAAGCAAAGUUCUAAAAAGUACAAGAGGUGCAUACCUUCUUUGGCUCACGACAGUCGCGAGCAUAGUGACCCUUCUUGUCACAGUUGUAGCAUUUCACCCUUGCAAGCUUUUUCAUGCGAGGACGCUUCCCUCUUUCAUGUUGGUUAAACUUGGGUUUCUUCCCUGAAGGACCUGCUUCUUCCUUGCCUUUCCCCUUAUCAAACCAGUUAGGGCGCUUGCGCUUGAAGCUCGAAGCUCCAUUUGAGCUAGAACUUGCAUGAUAGAGUUCAGCAUCCGGCUUAGCCGCCAACAGGCGGUCCUCUUCCAGCUCAAGAUGACGCAUUGCAUCCUCAAAGGUUUUGAUAUUUUCAUUAUGAGUCAGGUGCACCUUCAUAUGCUCCCAACUCUGAGGCAAGGAGCGAAUCACUGCUUGCACUUGCUGCUCAUCUGUGAGGACAUGGCCAUCAUCUUUCAGCUCAGUUAUCAUGUUUGACAUCUUUCUAAGAUGUUGCUUCAUGGUCUGACCAUGAGGCUUCUUAUAAGAGUCAAACCUGAUAGUGAGCUGCCUCAGUCUAGUCACCGAAGUAUGACCAAAUCUAGCUGCCAAUGCCUCCCACAUUUCCUUAGCAUUGUCAAAACGCUGAAACUUUCGCAUGAUGUCAUUUUCCAUGCUGCUCAGCAACGUGAUGUGAGCUAGAUAGUUCUUUCUUUUCCACGCAGAAAAAGCUUCUUUGUCUCUUUUGUGCUGUGCAGUGGUUCCCUCUUCAGGUUCUACCAUGGUCAGGUUAAGAGCCUCAAGUGCUUCUUGCUCUUCCAGCACAUACUGGAUUUUCAUUUGCCAAAUUUCAUAGUUGUCACCAUUGAGCUUUUCACCUUUGUUCAGCUUGGCAACUAUGCUCUUUGUGGCUGAAGCCAUUGAUCUGAACAAAUCAGACAAAUAUGCACGAAUUAUUAAUGCCUAUCAUUUAUGCAUCCCUAUUUACAUAGACUCAUCAUAUUAAUGAAUAAUUUCAAGUAAGGCUUCAGAAUCAAAAGGUCACUAUGUUUCCAAUCAUCCUCCAAAAAAUCCUAACUUAAAAUUAUCAUCAAUAUAAUUGUCUUAUGCAAAAUCAAUUCUAUGAAGCUACAAAAACUUCUAAAACUACCCACAGCUAAUUACCCACAGCAACCAGCAAUAACAUAAAGCAAUAUAUAAUAGACAUCCAAUAAAACAAUAAUGCUUUCAAUUAACACAAUUAGGUAGUAAUCAUUAUAUAAUAUGUCCACAAAUCACACUUAACAUAUAUCAGCCAAUAUAACUAACACCAAGUCAGCACACGAACUGGGAAAUAUUAUCUUUUGUUCAAUUUCUUGAUCUUUUCCCUCGAAACAAUACAGUAAUAUUCAUUUACAAAAUCCAUCACAAUUUUCUUAUAGGACGCAGCUCCGUUGACAUCCCAUAUGUGAUUCAACACAUCUUGCCAUUCAGGUGGAAGAGUGUUUAUGAAAAAUCGCACCAUCUCUGACUGUGACAUAGGACGACCAUUCCAUAUGACCUAUUGAAUUUUCCCGUUGACUCCAAGGACAUGAUCAAUUAAGUCACCUCUCUCCCAUCGAUGAUCAGUCAGCUCAGCUAUCAACUUAGACAGCCUAUCCUUUUGUUCAUCGGUAACUACGCGAAUAGGUGUGCGCAACCUCAGGGGAGGCAUUAUUCCUGCAACAAAUGUAGAACAAAUAAGGGAUCACAUUAUAAUCCACAUAGACUUAAUUGAAAAGGAAACACAUUCUUUUCCUCUUUUUUUUUUUUUUGGGUCAACGGUCGUCAACGGUCAACGGUCGUCGGACCGGACAGACCGCUCGGACCGGUCGGACCGGUUCAGGUGAACCGACGGCACGUGCCGCACGCGUGUGCCGGAUGACGUCACGCAGGCAUCAUCCAACACGUGCGGCGCGCGUGCCGACGUCCUCGGGUCGUGUCGCCGGUCGGGUCGUCGGCCGAUGACCGUCCAGCGAAACGUCGUCGUGCUGACGUCAUCGAUGACGUCACCCUAGCGGUUACUGACCGUUGGGUGACGUCAGCACGCGUCGGUCUGCGACCGGCACGUGCCAGUUCACCGGCCGGUGGCAAGCACGCGCCGGUUCGCCGACUGGCGCGUGUGUCGCACGCGCUGGGUGAGCCAGCGCUUCCGGCCGCACGUGUGGGCGCGUGCGGCGUCGCCCGACGGCGCAUAACCUGUCCUCGGACUCGUCUCGACGAGCCCUUUCUCCCUAUCUAAUCAGAAUUCGAUUUCGACUUACGAAAACUCGGAAAAAUGGGUGAACAGCGCUCGGGUGUCGGGAUUUCUCGCCCCGAUCCGUGCCGGCCAAUUUUAUUCGCGAAAAUUCAAUCAAAAAACAUCAAACAGGUCGGGAAAAUGUGAACUAGGGCUCUGAUACCAAUGUUGGGAAUGACUGAUCCCCGAAAAACCGGAUUCGACACUAAAUCGAACCCCUAAAUCAAUGCGGAAGACGAGCUCGAGAAAAACAACACGUAUCACCGAUCCUAAAGCACACCACGGAUUCGAGUGUACCUUUUAGCCACAGAUUAGACACCGACGCCGUUAGAGGAAGAGAAACUUGAUUCUGUUCGAUCCGGUGAAGCAAAUUGGCCUACGCGCUUCACUGUUUUCCUUUUUGCUUUGAAAAAAACGAGAGAGAGAGGGAGUGUUCGUUGAGAGAAAAACGUACGGCUUUUUCUAAAACAAAAUGGUGUAUUUUUUUCUCUCUCUCCUCCCUUUUAUACCUCUCUCCCGUGGGCCGGGCUUUUUGGGCCCAACUUGGGCGGACGGGCCUUAAGCCCAAUACUAAUAAGGCCUUCAGGUUCGAAUCUGUAUACAUACUAAUAUAAAGAGUGAGUCCACCGAUCUAUGAUAUUUGUGUUAACUGAGAAGUGACCAUGCAUUCUCUUCCUUUGGUCGCCGUAGCCUUUUGAAGCUAUAACUUUGUAUACAUCUUAUAGCAUGGCAACUGUAAACAAAUUAAAGAACAUAUUUAUGACAAGUCACAAUCCAAUGUUUCGUGCUUUAUUGAUUAUUUUUCAUUUCAUUGACAAUUUAGGAUCCCAAAUAAAACGUGGGCGUUUGACUUGAGGGGUUCUCAAUUAGUUUUUGGCUUUGAUAAAUGAUGUUUGCGUCGGCAUUCUUGAGGCCGAAGUCAAUGUUUCAGAACCAAAAAUUUCGGCCACGGCAGAAGAUGGUUUGUUACUUCCAAGAGGAACGCGAGGAAAAAUGGACUCGGGUUUAGAAUGCUGCGUGGACCGGGGAGUUUUCGUUAUACGUUGGUGCCAUCAGCCGACGCUUACUUAUCUUGUUAGCGUACUGGACCCCUGUAGGUAAAAGGAUCAAAUCAAGCCUUUUGUAACGCAGCAAUUUUUUCUGUGUCUGUAUUCCGCCCCCGCAAAUUUCAUCGUUUGAAAGCCUUAAACCCAGCAUGUACAAGCUCUUACUACAUUAUAUCCAGCUAGGUAAAAAAAUCUACUCAUAUAUGACAAACCAAAAGGCAGGCAUUUCCUCUUGCUUAAUGAAGAAGGCAACGGUCACCCCGAGCUCUUUCAGAGAAAGCCUAGAACAUCAGGAUCCAUACGGUUCAAGAUCAUUUCACAAGUUUUCAUCGAUUUUGACAUAACUAUUCCACGCUGGGCUGUACUCUCUAACAAAGGCAAGAUGGGACCUUUUAACAUAAGAAAAACUUUAGAGCUGCCGCUGGACUCAAUACAGAUUUCCCCGGUCCAGGCCAAAACCAAAAAACAUCUUCGGUUGAAGCUCUUCCCUGAAAAGGAAACUUCAAUCGGACAGAGGCGGAUCCAAGAACUUCGGCAAAGUCAAUACUUUUUGUUAGACAAGCACUCCAGGAAAAGUAAAGAAGUAUAAGAAUUGACAGAUGAGGGCAUGACACAAACAUACAGGCAUUAAAUGCCUAAAAGGGAGGCACAAGCUGCCGACGAAAUUAAUGCGCAGCUAUAUCAACGAUCGAUGUCAUUUUAAAACUACGCAUGCAUUUAAUUUUGUACAAACAAAAAGUUGGAGGAAGGCCAGUAUGGGUGCGUUUGUUUGUGUUUCUGUUCAAAAAUUGUUCAAGGGUAUUUCUGUUCCGAGGAACAAUUUUUUUUACCAGAAAAACGAGUUUGGUAAACUUGUUCCGGGAAUAAAAAAAGAACCGAAACACGUUUGGUAAAUUUGUGUUCUUUUUUUGUUUCUUUUAAUUUUUAAAUAUUUUUAUUUUCUUUUUCUUUUUUUCUUCUUUUGGCCGGUCACCGGCCUCGGCCAUGGCCGGCGACCGGCUGACAAGGGCCGGCAGCCUUGCCCAUCCACGGCGAGGCUCGGCCUUGCCUUGGUUGGGCGAGCUUGGGCUUGCCUAGAUCCAGCGAGGUCGAGCUCGCCCAGCCACCAGUCGCUUAGCGGUGGCCCGGCGAGGCUGGUGCGCCGGCGAUGCUCAACCUCACCGGGGGCCGGCGACACUUCGGCGAGGUCGCCGACCCUCAAUGGCGUCGCUGGCCCUCAACGGCCAGUCACUGAUCAUGGCCAAGGCUGGCGACCGGCCAAAGAAAAAAGAAAAAGAAAAGAAGAAGAAGAAAAAGAGAAGAAAAUAAUAGAAGAGAGAAAAUUUGUUCUUAAAAAUUGUUCCAGAAACAAUAAACAAGUUUUUUUGUUUAUUGUUUCUAUUCCAAUUUUAUUCUCGGGAACAAAAAAAAAAGAUUUAAAACAAAAACGCAAACAAACGGGAACGGGUUUUUGUUUUUUUUUUUCUCGGGAACAAAAAAAACAUAAUUUUUGUUCAUUAAAAAAAAAAAAACACAACCAUGCAGGCCUUAUAAGGAUGAGAAGUAAUCGAGGAUAUGACAAAUGCAUAACAAGCACAAACAUGAAAUGUCCGGAUCGGCUUGGAAGCCAACUUCUCAAUGUCGACCAACAGAUAAACCCGAAGGCAGAUCCCACAGAUAGAGAGGGAGAGAGACCGCGAGAGACAAAGGAAAGGAACGGAGCCGAACAUAACCAAUUUGGCUUUACUUAUAAUUUCCACUUAUAUGAAAAUAGUUUUUUUUUUCUUUUUUAGGGUUACAGUAGUAGUAGUGAUGAUGAUGAUGAAAUUGAAAAAAAAAAAUAUUUAUCACUUAAAAGAUAAUAGAAUAUUAUAAUUUCACCUGCAAUUGAUGUCUUUACACUUACCGAAAUUAUUCGAAUUUUUUUUUUGUCUAUGUUUGUAAAUAUAUCACAUUACCUACGAUGCACAAUGGGGUAGAGUCAACUUCAUGUAAAAUUUUAGCUAGAGUCACUUUCUUAUUAUCGUUGAAUCAAUUUUACUAUUUAUUACUUUCUCAUUCUCAUUGAGUUAAUAUUUUAGAAAAAUAUGUAUAUUUCUCUUAAUAUUUCCUUAAGAUAUAAUUUCUAAUUCUCAUAGGUCAAUUUUACUACAAAUUGUCUCGAGAUUUCCCUCCAAAUUCUCUCUUUUUCUUGAACUAAUGCCAAAUUCUCAUUUGAAAAAGAAAAGACUCAGUUCUUUGGAGUUUAACGUGCAAAAAUCACUUUUAGCAUUUCCAAGGCGACAUGAAGUUACCUGAGCAGAAGAUGGGUCUCGUGGCUGGGCGAACAUGGGUCUCGAGGGACAUUUAUUUCACACGUGAUAGAGGUUCGCAUUGUUUCUUAUGCGCCGUUCAUGCUCGUUCCAUGUUGCAGAGGAAUUGUUUCCAUCAAGAUCAGCAUUUCCACUUCGUCCAUCGAAACCCUCCCACCAAGAAAUAACCACAGCAAGAAAUCAAGAAAAAAUGCACAACUCUUCCCCAACAAACGAUGUUCCAGAAUCUAGCAGCGCCGGAUCAUCCUCACACCAGAAUCAUCUGGCCAAAAUAGACCAAGCUCCGGCGACAAACACCUUUUGCUACUGUAACUUCCUCCCCAGCAAAGCCGUUGAAGACGCGGAGAGGGCCCAAAGCAUUCCCCACAAGGUAAAACACAAGCCAGUCGAGAUCCGGGAUGAAGAUCGGCUCCCCCGGUCUGAUUCUCGCGACCGCCCGACCCCCUAAAAGGUCAUCGAUUAGCUCGAUCUUAGGACGGAGAAGCUGGUGGUCAGGGACCACAUAGCCUUGGAUAGCACGUUCCAUUGUGGCCUACGUCCGAUGUGCAAAACGUACAUGCAGGGCACAUGCACUAUGUGAUGAUACGUGAUGACGCAGAUUGCAACCAUGGUGGCAGCGGCGGUGACGGCAAUUGUGCGAAUCGACCUCUAUAUUUCCGCGGCUUGAAUGUACACUUGGCCAAGUGUCACGGGACCGCCUAUUACUUUCUGGAUUUGAGCGAUGUGUCCAUAACGAGACAACUCAAGGUGGGCCAUAUCAUUCUAUUAAGGGGGGACGCUCAGAAUGGUUGCUUCAUCAUGGAGGGACCUGACCAAGCACAUUGCAUGCAUGCACAUGUAAACCUUUUUGGUCGAAAAGAAACCAGAAUGUUAUGAACUUUUCGAGAUUUACAGAUUCGGGGGAGGAGGAGGGGGAGAUUAGUGGAGGCGAUAGGAUUUCUUUCCUUUUCUUUUCUCUUUUAAACAUUUCUACUCUUGAUAAUGAGAGGCAUUAUGCAUGAUGUAGGGCGAGUUAAUGGGACAUAUGAGUUUGGGACUACGCUUGUAUUGAAGUUUUUUUUAUGUUGAAGUUGACUAGUUUGAGAUAACUCUGCUUCGAAUUAUCACUAGGAUAAAAAGCAGAGUGAGUACGAAGAAAAUAGUUCAAAGAAAGAAAGGUUUCCAUAAAUGACUCAUAUUUGGUGGGGGAUUAACAUCCUUCAUAAUUAGAGGAUGAAUUGGAUGGAGAUGGUUUGCCUUCUUUGAAUAGGUGCACAUUAUCAUCCAGCAAAUAUCGGACGAUUGAACCCUACGACUUCGAGUUGGGGACAUGAUUGCUUUGUUUUGGUUAGUUUUCUAGAAGUCCAAAUUCAUCUGAUUUACUUGCUCGCCUGCUUUCCUCUUAAUGAAUGGGAGUCCUCAUAAACACUGGGCAUUUGCAGUAACAAACGUAUAUGAAAAUCAUAUUUAUUAGGAUUCACAUUUUCUUCUCAUCGUUGCUUGUUGCAACAAAGGGGAUCAAAAACUUGCGUUACUCCAUCAGGGUUAUUCCUUAACAGCGGGGAAACUGUUUGCAUCAAGAUCACCAUUUCCAAUUCCUCCAUCAAGACCCACCAACAAUUACAACUUGAGAAUCAAGAAAAUGCACAACUUUUUCCCAUCAAACAAUUUUGUCGAGUCCAGCAGUGCCCGGUCAUCGCCACCACCAAGAUCAUCAAACCGAGUUAACUAGGCUCCAGUGAAGAAGACACUUUUCUAUGACUUCCUCCCAAGUAAAGCCGUCGAAGACGCUGAGGGCCCAGGACAUUCCCCACCGGGUCACUUCAUCAACUUUUGUAUUUGAAGUACGUAACUUUUCUAAAUGUGUUAGCAUUUGAUUUUGAAAGUUGGUCGAUAUAUGUUAUUUCUGUUUUUAAUGGUCUUAACUAAUGCACCUGAGCAGUCAUUAAUAAGACUCAUAUUUUGAGAUCCAAAAUGGAUUGACAUCUUUUUUAUCAUUUAGGUACACAUUAGCAUCAAUUAUACACACUCUUUAAAUAAAACGAUACAUCAAUCUCUUUUGAGAUCCAUAAUGGACAAGAUUAAUCGAAUUACGCAAACCACAUUAAAAAAAAAAAAAAACCUCAUUCCCAAAACAAACAAAAUCUUAAACCAUCAUUCCCAAAACAACCAUUGCCUUGGUCGAUACUUCUCAAAGUUUUAAUAUUGAUAGAUAAACAAUUUUUCAAAUUUGAGGGUUCUUAAAAAAGAAGAAGAAGUUAUCCUCGUGAUAUAUGUAAACUGAGACUCUCAAUUGUUUUAUUUAGUAAAACGUCGUUCAUUGAAAGGUGGAUAAUCUCAUUGUACCGUAUAAAGGGAUGUUGACACCUAAAUUUCACUAUUUUACUUAAGAAUUAAUAGCAUUAAAAGUUAGGAAUUAAUCGCAAAAAAAAAAUUCCAAAAAAAUUUGUCAUCAAAAAGAAAAAACAAACAAAACAAAAUGCUUGAGGGGGGUCGGGUCGGGCCUGAUCUGGCCUUGGCCCGGCCCGGCCCGCCCCUCUCUCUUUUCUUCUUCCCCUUGCGUGGGCCUGGGCCGGCCCCAGCUUCUCCCCACGUUCAGCCCAGUCAACAGAACCGGUCUGCUCCGUCCCUGGCGUCUUGGGGCACGUGAAACCUGCAGAAGCAAAAGCAGCAGAGGGCAGAGGGGAAACAGCGACUGGGGCGGAGCUCCAACCAGGAGUGGGUGGUCGGGUCAAGCCGGCACUGCCAGCCAGCAUCGCAGGGGGACCUCGCGCACCAGCUGGUUCAAGCGAAGCACGCGAGAGGAGGAGGACAGAAGGGCAGAACACAGAGAACAGGGAAGGGGUGCGAACCAGAGGGAAACCAGAGAGAGAGGAGUCCGAGCGAGGAAGCGACUAAGGGAGAGCUAGAGGGAGCUGGAGCGAGACCAGAGAGCUCGAGAGAACGGAGGGCGAGCCAGAGGAAGAGGUCUUCGGCUAGGAGAGAGAGAGACCGAGAAGGAGGGUGAGCGAGAGAGCGACCUAGAGAGAGAGCGCAAGCUCGAGAGAGUGGUUGGUCGUCGCCGGAGGUCCGUUCGUCAGCCGCCAUUCGCCGCAGUUCUCCUCUCGAACCAGGUAGGCUUUGUUUCGACUGUGUGUCCCUUGUUUCUUGGGAGGCGUCGGGCCAGAGCUCGUGCCGACUAGUUCGCGCACGUUUCGGUCCGAGCCUGUCCUCCCCGGAAAGCUGCUAGCUGUUCUAGUAUGCGUCAUAGGGGUCUAUCAAGUGGAAAAUUCCCAUGUCAGUAGCGCACACCAAAUGCUUGUGAAAAUGCCUAAACGAUAUCUAAGUUCUACAAGUUUGUUGAAGCCAGAGAUAGUUGUUCUUCGUUCAUAUAUGUUCCGACUGUGAUUAACCUGUCAAUGAGCGAAUCUUCAGUAUUGCUUGUGCAUGUCGUGUUGAUGUUUGCCCAAAUCUAUGUCCCAAGUGAGUCUAGGUCCUCUUUCUAACUGAUGCACCUCCUCUGUUUGACAAAAUGUCCCAUAGAGAACCGAGAAACAACUCCGGUUUAAACUCAGUCUGAUUCGCGCUUGUUGAUAUAUAUGUUGGACCGUGCUUUUAUUGCGAUUUUUCGUGGAGUAAUCAUGUGUGUUUGAGCCGGGAUGUUUGCAUCCGAAAAUAGUUUAGCAGCCGCCGGAGUUAGGUGGCUGGCGGCGGUCUGCGCCAGUCGGGGUGGUUUCGGCUGGUGUUGUUGUUUGGAUGAGUUUCGGUGAGGAAGCAGUUUCGGGAAUUGAAAGGAGUGUCGCGAGGAAGGAGAAAUACGCUUCGGGAAGAGAAAGAGGGAGCAGGGAGGAGAGAGAACAAAAUAAAAGGAAAAGAAAAGAAAAAGAAACAAAAAGGAGGUAAUGAAAAGAAUUGAAAAAAGACAAAACGGAGGAAAAGACGUUGGAGGGGGACGUUAUGUGAAAAAUGCAUGAAUUUGAGGAGGGAGCAGCGUAAAAAGACAAAAUGGGAAAAAGACAAGAGAGAAAGAAAAUCAAAUAAAAAAAAUCAAAGUAUUAGAAAAUCGGUUUUAAUCUGACGCUGGUCGGAUUCGGAUUUGGGUCGGGUCAAUGGCUGGAUUUGGUUUUACUCGGUCCAAACUCAUUUUCACGAAUAUAAUUAAAAAAAUUCAAAAAUUUUCAAAAAAAGAAAAAAUUCAAAAAAAAAUUUCGAAAAUUCAAAAAACUCAUAAAACAUUAAAAAAUUCGACCUUUUUAAAAAAAAUUAAUUAAAAAAAUUAAAAAUUGCAAAAAUCUAGUUUUUUUUUUUGGAAAAUUCGAAAAUUCCUUUCUUUUUAUUAAAAAAAGAAAAAUAAAAAAAAAUUUAAAUUUCCUUGAAAGGGUUGAAAUUAAACUUUGGAGUAAUUUUCUCCCAAAAAUAGGAAACCUUUCAAUUUGGAAUUAUGUUUGAUUAAGCCUUUAAGGCUUUACCUUAAGGUUUCAAUUGUCCUUAGGGACAAAUGCCUUUGAAUGCACAAUAUUGAUAUGUUGAUUUCCGCUUCUCUUUAAUCUGAUUAGGAUUAGUAUUUAUCUUUUCUUUGAUGUUAAAUUUUUGCUCUUUCAUGCAAUUUAUUUAAUCACUUUCCUUGGUUGCUAAUUGUCAUUUUAAUGAUUGUGCACCCAUAUGAUCAUCUCACAUGUUAGUGAGUAGGUAUAAAAUCAAUCUAAACCGCCUGACAAAAAUAUUUUCUUUUAACAUGAGUAAGAUUAUGUACUGAAAGGACACUAGUUGAUUAAUUAAUGUAAUCAAGUCCCCAAUCCUAAAUUGUCGGUGAGUUUUUUUUUUUUUUUUACGGUUUUGAGCUUGCCCUGAGGAUCGGCUUGGAAACUUGAAGGCAGUGGCCAAAGCUCAGAUUCUCUUCUUUGGGCUCACCUCCUAGCCGUUGUGCCCUAAUCGGCUAGUGACUUCCACUUUCGAGCGCUCGCCAUGCUCUGUUUUGCCCUUUCUCGGCUCGAUCGUGACCGAGAGUUGUUGCCUUUCACUCAUACCUAUGCUGAGUGCAAACUAGGCGUCCUGUGCUGAUUUCGAGUCUUGAUUUGUUCGUUCUUUGCGGGUUUAAGUUCGUGCCCCGAAUAAAUCUAUUGUCUCCUCGCGGCCCAUGUCCAUCUUUGUUUCUUAAAAUGCAUAAGUCGAGUCAGCGUAUGGUACAUUAAAUCUUAGACUACUUUGAACACUUAUGAAUACGUUUGUUUUCAUGAAGGGUCACUCGCAUUGACUAAUGAGCAUGUUUACUAUUAAAAAAUUUUGUUAAGGAAAUCAUAUUUGAGUUCUAUUUCCUUAUUCCAUUCUCGAUCACCAGUGCGUGCGCUGUAAUGGUGGCCGAGUUUGGUGUUUCACAUGAUGAUUUGGUCACCGGAGAGCAACGACUUGGUUUUAUGGAUAAGCAAAGUUGGCUGUUAGUGAAAAACCAGGGCCGCCGGAGUCAAAGUCUAGUAAGACCAAAGGUGAAAACUCCACUCACCACUGGUUGAACGAGGCUGACGACAUUUGAGAGGUAAGAGCUUGGUGGGUCGGGCACAGCGUAGGUUUAAGCGAGUUUUGGGCUAGUUUGUUUUGUUAUAUUUUUCACUCAGCAAAAGAUUUAUGUGUUAGUCAAAUUUUCAUGGUGGUUCCAUAUUGCAAAGAAGCAUUUCCCCUAUCGGAAGCUCAACAGAUGGGAAUUAAAGAAAAUAUGAGUUGUAGGCUGCCGCCGAGGAAGUCCAUAAAGGUGAAAGAGAAAGUGGGUGCACAUGGUAAUACUGAACUUAAGAAGGAAGUUUUGUCUUAGGAGAGAAAUGAGUAUGUGGAUUGGACGAAGCUACCCGACAACAUGUCAACUAAGUUGUCUUCGCAUCUCAAUUACCAUGAUAGGGCCAACUUGGCCUCUACUUGUAAAGGGUGGAGAGUCAUAAGUAAUUCUCUUAUCAUUUUGAAAUCAUUGGAUCUUAGAGCUCAUAACUACGAUUCAGCAAUGGCGAGUUCGCUUGCUUCUAGAUGUAGUGAUUUACAGAAGCUCCGAUUUCUAGGACAUGAUUUAGUUGAUUCUAUAAUUUUUGAAAUUGGCCUUAAGCAUUGCGAGAGAAUCACUAGUGGUUGUAUCAAAUAGCUUUCUGCUGUCAUAGGUUGACUAAGUUUCGGCUUUUAGGAAUUAUGGAUGUUGGAAGUGAUGCUAUUAAUUCUCUAGGGAAGUAUUGUCCCAUCUCACUGACCUAGGGUUGUUCGAUUGCUUGAGAGUUGAUGAAUUUUGGGAAAUAUGUCAUCUCUUAAGUUCCUCUCAGUUGCCGGCUCACAUGUGGAGUUUUGGGGUGUGGUUUUAGAUGUUUGGCAUAAGCUUCCCAAGUCAGCUAGGUUAGAUGUUCCUCGAACACAUCAUAUGUUGGUUCGGCAAUUGUUUCAACGUUGCUAUUAACACCCCAAAACAUCUAAAAUCACACUCCAAAACUCCACGUGUGCCGGCAACUGAGAGGAACUUAAGAGAUGGCACAUUCCCCAAAGCCAAUUCAUCAACUCUCAAGCAAUCAAACAACCCUAGGUCAGUGAGAUGUGGACAAUGCUUUGCUAGAGCAUUAAUAGCAUCACUUCCAACAUCCCUAAUUCCUGAAAGUCGAAGCUUAGUCAACCUAUAACAGCAAAAAACUAUAUGAUACAACUACUAGUGAUUUUCUCACAACGGUCAGGACCAAUUUCAAAAAGUAUGGAAUAAGCUAAAUCGUGUCCUAGAAAUUGGAGCUUCUGUAGAUCACUACAUCUAGAAGCAAGCAAACUAGCCAUUGCUGAAUCGCAGUUACGAGCUCUAAAAUCCAAUGAUUCCAGACAAUAGGAGAAUUACUUAUCGCUCUCCACCCCUUACAAGUAGAGGCCAAGUCGACCUUAUCAUGGUAAUUGAGACGUGAAAACAACUCAGUCAGCAUGUUGUCGGGCAUUUUUGUCCAAUCCACAUACUCAUUUCGCUCUAAAGACUAAACUUCCUCCUCAAGUUACUAUGCGCACCCACCUUCUUUUUCACCUUUUUGGACUUCCUCGGCGGUAGCCUACAACUCAUAUUUUCUUUAAUUCCCGUCUAUUGAGCUUCCGAUAGAGAAAAGGCUUCUCUGCAAUAUGGAAUUACCAUAAAAAUUUGACUAACACACAAAUCUUUGACCACGCAUUUUAAUUUUCUGAGUGAAAAAGAUAACAAAACAAACCAGCCUAAAACCCGCCUAAACCUAUGCUGCGCCCGACCUGCCAAGCUCUUACUCUCUAACGUCGUCAGCCUCCUUCGGCCAAUGGUGAGUGGAGUUCUCACCUUUGGUCCGACUAGACUCUGACUCUGGCGGCCCAAGUCUUUCACCAACAGCCAACUUCGCUUGUCCAUAAAAUCAAGUCGUUCCUCUCCGGUGACCAAAUCAUCAUGUUAAACACCAAACUCGGCCACCAUUAUAGCGUGCACACUGGCGACCGAGAAUGAAAUAAGGAAACAGAACUCAAACCCGAUUUCCUUAACCAAAAAUUUUAACAGUAAAUAUGCUCAUUAGUCAAUGGGAGUAACCCUUCAUGAAAACAAAAGUACUCAUAAGUGCUCAAAGUAGUCUAAGAUUGAAUGUACCAUACAUUGACUCGGCUUAGGCAUUUUAAGAAACAAAGGAUGGGCAUGGGCUGAGCGGAGAAAAUAGAUUCAUUCAGGGCACGAACUUAGUUUGAGACUCGCAAAGAAUGAACAAAUCAAGACUCGAAAUCAGCAGGACGACUAGUUUGCACUCAGCACAGGUAUGAGUGAAAGACAGCAACUCUCGACCCCGGUCGAGCGGAGACGGGCAAAACAGAGCAUGGCGAGCGCUUGAAAGUGGAAGUCACUAGCUGGCUAGGGCACAUCGGCUAGGAGGCGAGCCCGAAGAAGAGAAUCCGAGCUCUGGCCACUGCCUUCAUGUCUCUAAGCCAAUCCUUGAGGCGAGUUCGAAACCAAAAAAAAAAAGAAGAACUCACCGGUGAUAUGGACACCCAAGAAGCAAGGACGUCGGCCGGAGUUUUAUCAGAUAGCGAUGAUGGAGUCCAAGCGCGGCCAGCCAAGAAUGAGUGAGGCUCAGAGCAACGGACUGCUUUUUUGCUUCUGCCCCUCGCGCUCUCUCCCUCUCUCUCUCACACCAGCUUUUUUCUGUUACACCCCCUACAAAAGUACACCCGCGUAGCAUCAGACUUCAUUAAAUGUCGUGCUCCCCAUGAUUGUUUUUGUGGAACCAUGCAUCUGCACCGUCCAUUUCCACCAUCUGCGCCGGUGAAGGGAAAACAAAUUGUGGAGGUUUUAUGGGCUCGUGAGCCCGUUUAAUUUACGGAAAAUAAAUAAUCUUGAAUAUAUAUAUAUAUAUAUAUAUAUUUUAAAAUAAUCGUUUGUGUCACUUAUAGAAUGCAUGAGCGGAAAUUUUUUUCAUUGUUCAUCAAAAUAUUUAGAAUUAAAUUGUUGUUGAUACUGAAAUCAUCAUUUAUUGACUAUAGUUAUUUCAAACGAUAUAAGCGACUAUUUUUAAGAAAAUAUUUUCCAAAUCCUUCAUUUUAUACGAAAACAAAUGGAGCCCUAGGAUUAAGAUGCUCUCCCUUUAUACGGUACAGUGACAUUAUCCACCUUUCAAUGAACGACGCUUUACUAAAUAAAAUAAUUGAGAGUCCGGAUUUACAUAUAUCAUGAGGAAUUUUUUUUUUUUUUUUGAAGAACCCUCAAAUUUGAAAAAUUGUUUAUCUAUCAAUAUCAAAAUUUUGAGAAGUAUCAACCCCAGGCAAUGGUUGUUUUGGGAAUGAUGGUUUAAGAUUUUCUUUCUUUCGGGAAUGAGGUUUUUUUUUUUUUUAAUGUGGUUUGCGCAAUUCGAUUAAUCUUGUCCAUUCUGGAUCUCAAAAGAGAUUGAUGUAUCGUUUUAUUUAAAGAGUGUGCAUAAUUGAUGCUAAUGUGUUCCUAAAUGAUAAAAAAAAAAUGCCAAUCUAUUUUAGAUCUCAAAAUAUGAGUCUUAUUAACGACUAUUCAGGUGCAUUAUUAGUUAAGACCACUAAAAACAGAAAUAACAUAUAUCGACCAUCUUUCAAAAUCAAGCGCUAACACAUUUAGAAAAGUUACGUACUUCAAAUACAAAAGUCGAUGGUUCCCAUGCACAAUAAAUGGGACUUAAUAGAUGAAGUGACCCGGUGGGGAAUGUCUUGGGCCCUCUCAACGUCUUCGACGGCUUUACUUGGGAGGAGGUCAUAGAAAAGCGUCUUCUUCACUGGAGCCUAGUUAACUUGGUUUGAUGAUUUUGGUGGUGGCGAUGACCGGGCACUGCUGGACUCGAGAAAAUUGUUUGAUGGGAAAAAGUCGUGCAUUUUCUUGAUUUUCUCGUCGUAAUUGUUGGUGGGUCUUGAUGGAGGAAUUGGAAAUGGUGAUCUUGAUGCAAACAGUUUCCCCGCUGUUAAGGAACAACCCUGAAUGGAACGCAAAUCUUUGAUCCCCUUUAUUGCAACAGGCAACGAUGAGAAGAAAAUGUGAAUCCUAAUAAAUACGAUCUUCAUAUACGUUUGUUACUGCAAAUGCCCAGUGUUUAUGAGGACUCCCAUUCAUUAAGAAGAAAGCAGGCGAGCAAGUAAAUUAGAUGAAUUUGGACUUCUAGAAAACUAACCAAAACAAAGCAAUCAUGUCCCCAACUUGAAGUCGUAGGGUUCAAUCGUCCGAUAUUUGCUGGAUCCUAUUCAAGGAAGGUAAACCAUCUCCAUCCAAUUCAUUCCCUAAUUCUGAACGAUGUUAAUUUCCCACACAAAUAUGAGUCUUUCAUGGAAAUGUUUCUUUCUUUGGACUAUUUUCUUCAUAAUCACUCUACUUUUUAUCCUAGUAAUGAUUCGAAGAAGAGUUAUCUCAAACCAGUCAACUUCAACACAAAAGAACUUCAAUAUAGGCCUAGUCCCAAACUCAUAUGUCUUAUUAACUCGCCCUACAUCAUGCAUGAUGCCUCUCAUCAUGAAGAGUAGAAAUGUUUAAAAGAGAAAAGAAAAGGAAAUAAAUCCAAUCGCCUCCACAAAUCUUUCCCUCCUCCCCCAAAUCUGUAAAUCUCGAAAAGUUCAUAACAUUCCGGUUUCGUUUCGACCAAAAAGAUUUGCACGUGCAUGCAUGCAAUGUGCUUGGUCAGGUCCCUCCAUGAUGAAGCAACCAUUCUGAGCUUCCCCCCCCCCCCCCCUAAAUAAAAAGUUGGCUCAUGGUCCACCUUGAUUUGUCUCAUUAUGGACACAUCGCUCAAAUCCAUAAAGGAAUGGGCGGUCCCGUGACACUUGGCCAAGUGUACAUUCAAGCCACGGAAAUAUAGAGGUUGGUUCGCAUAAUUGUCGUCGCCGCCGCUGCCACCAUGGUUGCAAUCUGCGUCAUCGCGUAUCGUCACAUUGUGCAUGUGCCCUGCAUGUACGUUUUGCACGUCGGACAUAGGCCACAACGGAACGUGCUAUCCAAGGCUAUGUGGUCCCUGACCACCAGCUUCUCCGUCCUAAGGUCGAGCUAAUCGAUGACCUUUUUGGGGGUCGGGUGGUCGCGAGAAUCAGACCGAGGGAGCCGAUCUUCAUCCCGGAUCUCGACCGGCUUGUGUUUGACCUUGUGGGGAAUGCUUUGGGCCCUCUUCGCGUCUGCAACGGCUUUGCUGGGGAGGAAGUUACAGUAGCAAAAGGUGUUUGUCGCCGGAACUUGGUCUAUUUUGGCCAGAUGAUUCUGGUGUGAGGAUGAUCCGGCGCUGCUAGAUUCUGGAACAUCGUUUGUUGGGGAAGAGUUGUGCAUUUUUUCUUGAUUUCUUGCUGUGCUUAUUUCUUGGUGGGAGGGUUUCGAUGGACGAAGUGGAAAUGCUGAUCUUGAUGGAAACAAUUCCUCUGCAACAUGGAACGAGCAUGAACGGCGCAUAAGAAAGAAUGCGAACCUCUAUCACAUGCGUGAAAUAAAUGUCCCCCGAGACCCAUGUUCGCCCAGCCACGGGACCCAUCUUCUGCUCAGGUAACUUCAUGUCGCCUCGGAUAUGCUAUAAGUGAUUUUUGCAUGUCAAACUCCAAAGAACUGAGUCUUUUCUUUUCCAAAUGAGAAUUUGGCAUUAGUUCAAGAAAAAGAGAGAAUUUGGAGGGAAAUCUCUAGACAAUUUGUAGUAAAAUUGACCUAUGAGAAUUAGAAAAUAUAUCUUAAGGAAAUAUUAAGAGAAAUAUACAUAUUUUUCUAAAAUAUUAACUCAAUGAGAAUGAGAAAGUAAUAAAUAGUAAAAUUGAUUCAACGAUAAUGAGAAAGUGACUCUAGCUAAAAUUUCACAAAAAGUUGACUCUAACCCAUUGUGCAUCGUAGGUAAUGUGAUAUAUUUACAAACAUAGACAAACAAAAAAAAUCUAUUGAAUAAUAUGGGGAGAAAAGUUAAUUACCAUGGAGUCAAUUAAUAAUUACCAACAAAAAAUAAUCAGACGAUCGAGACGAAUUAAAUAAUCGAUUUUCGACAAAUUUAAUUUGUAAAAUAUGAAAUUGGUUAUGUUCGGUAAGUGUAAAGCCAUCAUUGCAGGUGAAAUUAUAAUAUUUUAUUAUCUUUUAAGUGAUAAGUAUUUUUUUUCAAUUUCAUCAUCAUCAUCAUCACUACUACUGUAACCCUUGUCGCGACCUCUUUUUUUUCGGCGCCCGCAAUCGGGGGCGAAUGCCUAAAGGAGGCUAAUGGCUCGGUUGAAUUUAUUAGGCCUAGACUCUCCCAAGUCCACCAAUUCAUGACUUAAUGGUCCAAGUUUUUUAACCUAUAAAUUAAUUUUAAAACGGAGUCGUCACUAAUCGAUUUGGGGUGGGUUGAUUAGAAACCCAAGCAAAGUAUCAGGAGAAAUACUCACUCCUGCGCAACCAGAGAAAUUAGGAUCGGGGACUUGAUUACACUAGUUAAUCACUAAUGCCCUUUCGGUACCUAAUCUUGUUUAAACCCUAAGGUUUUUUGGAUAUUUGAGGGAUUUUCCAUGCAUUUUGGGGAGAAAAAACAUUUUUGAGUCUUUUUAUCAUUUUUUGGACAUAAAAUGGAUUUUUUUUUUUUGGAUUUUUGGUAUUUUUGGGGCAAAUACAAGUCUUUUUGGCUUUUUCUUAAUUUUUUUUGGCUUUUUCAUGAAUUUUUGGCUUUUUUUGGAUUUUUGGCAUUUUUUUGAAAAUAUGGAAUAUUUUUGAUUUUUUUGAUUUUUCGGAAAAUAAAAUAUUUUUCAAUAUUUUUUGUUUUUUGGAAAUUAAAUUAUUUUAAAUAUUUUUGGAAAAUAAAUUAUAUUUUUUAUUUUUUUUGGAAAAUAAAUUAUUUAUCUAUUAUUUAUUUAUUUAAAAUAUUAUUUAAAAUAAAUUUAAAAAAAGGGCCAACCCUGGUUGGAUCUGCGGGUUGGGUUCGACCCGGGCGGCGACCCGAACGCGGGCCCGACUCGGAUUUUUUAUUUAUUUUUUGUUUUUUUUAUUUAAACAGCGUUGUGGCCGAGCAUUUGGAGGCGCUCGGCCCGGCCCGAUGACCCGCUCCCCCAGCGAAACCCUACCUGACCUGGCUCCGGCACCCGACCCGUCCUCCAGCCGCCCCCAGAUCUCGAACCCUACCCGAUUUUCCAGGUCCGGAUCUGCUUCACGACCCGGAAAAUCGCAAACCCUAGGGUUUACGAAUCCGCGGCGCCGAGGACGGAGACCAAAGUGUUAUGGCGGCGACGGCAGCUACGGCGGCGACAGCAACGACGACGGUGACUACGACGACAGCGACAGCGAUGGAAAGCGUUUACGAUGAAUGGCAAGGACGUCGGUGACGGGCCUAAAUUUACCUUUUCUUGAAUGGAGACAAUGACGGCGAUGACGGGGGUUGCUUUUCGACGGCGGAGGCCACAACGAGCAACGACGAAGCCAGAGGGCUCUAUCUGCGACGGUGAAGACCACGGCGAACAACAACGGUGACGGCGAGAACCUAGACUCAGCCGAAACCCAACCGGAACGCCCUCUCUCCGCGUCGGUGUGCUUCGUUUUAGCCCCCCCGCACUCGGAUCUCCCCCCUCACACUCAUAUCCACCUCGAACGACUCCGGCCGACCUCACAUCUCGGCCUGCUCGUCCUCGGCCCCCUUUAUGAAGUCUCUCAGUUGGGAGGUUUCGAGGAUUUGCAGCCCUCGACCUUCGCCGCCUCUCUCUCUCUACCCUCGACUUCUUCUGUGUGCUCUGGCUACUGGGAUCGACGGCCUAUUUACAGGCCGAGGGGCGGCCGGUCGACGGAGUUCGACCGUUGGUCGCCACGGCCUUCGCCAGCCGAAUCGGCGUCCCAUCCGACGCCAGCUACCCCUUGCUCCACGUGCCAUCGCCGUCUGUCCACCCCCUUCCGGCGUCGCGCCCCCCUGCGCGUGCUGCAGAGGCGCAAGGAAGGAGAAGAUCUUAUGGGGCCGGGCUGAGGCGGAAAUGGGCCUUUAGGGCCCAUGCGAGGGCUGCUUCUGCUUUUUUUUUUUGUUUUUUUUUUGUUAUUUGUUUAUUUAUUAUCCGAAAAAGAUUAAAUAAAAUAAAGUAAAACCUAAUUAAUUAAAAGGAAAAUUUAGGCGUCAACAACCCUAAAAAAGAAAAAAAAAACUAUUUUCAUAUAAGUGGAAAUUAUAAGUAAAGCCAAAUUGGUUAUGUUCGGUUCCGUUCCUUUCCUUUGUGUCUCUCGCGGUCUCUCUCCCUCUCUAUCCGUGGGAUCUGCCUUCGGGUUUAUUUGUUGGUCGAUAUUGAGAAGAUGGCUUCGAAGCGGAUCCGGACAUUUCAUGUUUGUGCUUGUCAUCUUAUGUAUUUGUCAUAUCCUCGAUUACUUCUCAUCCUUAUACUGGCCUUCCUCCAACUUUUUGUUUGUACAAAGUUAAAUGCGUGCGUAGCUUUAAAAUGACAUCGAUUGUUGAUAUAGCUGCGCAUUAACUUCGUUGGCAGCUUGCGCCUCCCUUUUAGGCAUUUAACGCCUGUAUGUUUGUGUCAUGCCCUCAUCUGUCAAUUCUUAUACUUCUUUACUUUUCCUGGAGUGCUUGUCUAACAAAAAGUAUUGACUUUGCCGAAGUUCUUGAACCCGCCUCUGUCCGAUUGAAGUUUCCUUUUCAGGGAAGAGCUUCAACUCAAGAUGUUUUUUGGUUUUGGCCUGGACCGGGGAAAUCUGUAUUGAGUCCAGCGGCAGUUCUGAAGUUUUUCAUAUGUUUAAAAGUCCCGUCUUGCCUUUGUUAGAGAGUAUAGCCCAACGUGGAGUAGUUCUGUCAAAAUCGAUGAAAACUUGCGAAAUGAUCUUGAACCGUGUGGAUCAUGAUGUUCUAGGCUUUCUCAGAAAUAGCUCGGGGUGACUGUUGCGUUCUCAUUUCGCAAGAGGAAAUGCCUGCCUUUUGGUUUGUCCAUAUAUGCGUAUCUUUUACCAUUUUUACGUAGCUGGAUAUGAUGUAGUAAGAGCUUAUACAUGCCGGGUUUAAGGCUUUCAAACGAUAAAAUUUGCGCGGGCGGAAUACAGACACAGAAAAAAUUGCUGUGUUACAGAAGGCUUGACUUGAUCCUUUUCCCUACAUGGGCCCAGUACGCUAACAAGAUAAGUGUCGGUGAAUUUGUGGAUUCAACGAUGCAAAGGAAGAAGAUGAAGAAUGAUGAUGGAGAUAAAGGAUAAACUCAAUAAUGCUGAAAAGGGAUCUUGAACAAGAAGAGUUCGUAUCUCAUUCUAUUGUAUUCAAGUUCUUUGUACAAAGUGAAAUGAAAGAAUACAAUUGAUCAAUAUUCGAGCUUCUUUGCUCUCUCCUCUCUAUCUCUCUUCUUCACCAUCAUAAUUCUCUCGAGCUCAGUUCUCUCAUUAUAUACUAAUGGAAGCACCAAACUAAUAACCAACUAAAACCGAACUAACUGACUCCAAAAACUAACAAACAGACUUUUACAACUCAGUAUAACAGAGUAGCAAGUUCAGAUACUUGGCAAUCCUCGUCAAUCCAUAUCUUCGGCAUUCGAUUAAUCUCCACCGUUAAUAGAACUGGUUAUCCACGUCUUCGGCUUAUUCUCUUCACGAUUGACUUCUGAUGAUCUCUGUCUAUCACUUGUUGAGGAUCCCCUGUGUCUACCUUUUGAUGUAGUAGAGUAAGACCAUUCAUCUUGAUGUAGUAUACUGAGCUGACAAUGUUGACAACCUUGAUCCUCUGUUAUGGACGGUCUUGAUCCUCUAACAUUCCCCCUCAAAUUGGGAAGGGUAAAUGAUCCCAUUCCCAAUUUGAUUCGGAGAUUAAGAUGAGACGAUCGUGAUAGUGACUUAGUGAAUAUAUCAGCUAAUUGAAGAUGAGUAGAAAUAUACUGUACACGAAUGGAACCAGAGGAGACUUUCUCUCGGACAAAGUGAAAAUCAACUUCAAUAUGCUUGGUUCGAGCGUGUAAUAUUGGAUUAGCUGUGAGAGAAAUUGCUGAUCUAUUGUCACAGUAUAUGAAUGUAGGAGACUGAAGAGAAAUGCCAAUAUCUCGUAACACAAAUGUUAUCCAAGUAAGUUCAGCAGUUGUGGAAGCAAGUGCACGAUACUCUGCUUCGGUUGAUGAUCUGGAAACAGUAGGUUGUUUCUUGGCAGACCAAGAGAGUAGAUUAGAACCAAGGAAUGUGCAAAAUCCUGUUAUGGAACGUCGUGUAGUGGGACAACCAGCCCAGUCAGCAUCAGAGAAUCCAUAGAUGUUUAUUGAACUUUGAGCAUGAAGAUAGAUUCCAAGAUGCAUAGUACCUUUGACAUAUCGAAGAACUCUUUUUAGUUGAUGAAAAUCUUCUUCAGUAGGCUGUUGCAUCUUUUGACAGAGAAGAUUAGUAGCAAAAGCCAGGUCUGGUCGAGUAAUAGUUAAGUAUUGAAGAGCACCAACCAAGCUUCUGUACUCUAUAGGAUCUGUGAGCUGUUUUGCAGUACCAGCUAUGGAAAUUGAUCGAAGAGGUAAGGGCGUUGAGAUUGGUUUACAAUCGGCCAUAUGAGCUCGUUUCAGCAAGUUAGUGGCAUAUUUUGUUUGACACAAAAAGAGAUUCUGUGAUGUUCGUUUGGCCUCAAUGCCCAAAAAAUAGUGAAUAUACCCAAGGUCCUUCAUAUGAAAAUGGAGACUAAGUUUCUGAAUGAGGGUAGUUAGGAGAUGUGGUGAACUACCAGUCAAGAUGAUAUCAUCAACAUAUAGAAGCAACAGAACUGUAUGUAAGUCUGUAUGAAGAACAAAUAAUGAUGGAUCUGCUGUGCUACAGAAGAAACCACUUUCGAGUAAGAAUUUGCUGAAUUUAUCGAACCAAGCUCUUGGUGCUUGUCGAAGACCAUAUAGGGACUUGUGAAGUAGACAUAUAUGACUUGGCUUUUGAUGAUUAAUAAAGCCAGGUGGCUGUUCCAUGUAUACAGUCUCGUUCAAAUCUCCAUGAAGAAAAGCAUUCUUGACAUCAAGUUGGUGUAUUGGCCAGUGCUUUAUCAUGGCAAGAGAUAGCACUAUUCGAAUUGUUGUGUGUUUCACAACUAGACUGAAAGUCUCAGUGAAGUCAAGUCCUUCUUCUUGGUGAAAGCCUUUGGCAACUAGACGAGCUUUAAGUCUAUCAAGACCUCCAUCUGGUGUGAGUUUGGUCUUAUAUACCCACUUACAGCCAAUUACAUUCAUCUGGUCAGUUCUUGGAAUCAAUGUCCAUGUUUGGUUUUCAUCAAGAGCAUCCAUUUCUUCUUUCAUAGCCCUGUACCAUGCUUCAUUAGCUAAGGCUGAUUUGACAGACCAUGGUUCCAUAGGAACUUGAUAGACAGCUGAAUAAGCAUACUUUGGAUUUGGUUUUCGAAUCCCAGACUUUAGUCGGGUCUGCAUAUGAUGAUUAUUAGCAGUAACUUGAGACGAAGACAUAAUGGAAUUGGAAGUGCAGUUCCCUUCAUCAGAGUUGCUUUCAGCUGGAAGAUCAUUAUGUGAGGAUGAAGAACUGGUAGUAUGUUGUUCCCGAGAAGUGGACAGAUCUGUAGGCACAGUUUCUAUUGAAAUCCUGUCAGAUUGUUCAUCUGUUAUUUCCUCAUUCUGCAUAGUUCUUGAGGAAAUGGUCUGAGAUUGUUGUCUGUGACACAGAGGAGAAUUAUAACAAUCAUGUAGAUCAGGAUGAAUCUGAUCUUUAACUGACUGAUGUAAGGAACCAUUAUAUGUUGACUUGGUUCUUGAGGGUUCAAGAAUUUGUAUUCCUUCAAUCCACUGUUUGUACAGGUUUGUAUACUGUCCAUACCCAUUGGCGAGCUUCUUUAUAAAUGGAUAAGAAUGCUCAUCAAAGACAACAUGCCUACUGAUGUACACACGAUUAUUGGUUGGAACCAGACAUCGAUACCCUUUGUGCUGGUUGCUAUAACCCAAAAAGAUACAAGGAAGAGAUCAAGGAUCAAGUUUAUGACUUGCAUAUGGUCUCAGGCACGGAUAGCAUGCACAGCCAAAUACCCUCAAAUGAUCAUACCUUGGCUGUCUAUUAUGGAGUUUGUUAUAAGGUGUGUCCAUCUUCAAUUUUGGUGUGGGAAGUAUGUUUUUCAAUUUUGGUGUGGGAAGUAUGUUUAUGAUGUAAUUAGCUGUCACAAAUGCAUCUACCCAAAAUGUUAGUGGAACUUUUGAGUGAUAUAGCAUAGCUAAUCCCAGUUCAACAAUAUGUCGAUGCUUCCGUUCAGAGACCCCAUUCUGUUCUGGUGUAUGAGGACAUGAUAUAAGCUGUCUAAUUCCAUGAUGUCUCAGACAACUUUGGAAUUUGUUGCUUACGAACUCUCCUCCUCCAUCACUCUGGAAGAUUGUAAUCUGGUGAUUAUACUGUCUUUCAACUAACUUCUGGAAUUGAACAAAUAUGUCAUAAAAGUCAGACUUGAACUUCAUAGGAUAUAGCCAGCCAUAUCGAGAGAAACUGUCAACAAAAAUCACAUAGUAUCUAAACUUUUGAAAAGAACUUACUGGUGAUGGUCCCCAAAUGUCACAAUGAAUCCUUUCUAAUGGAAAACUUGAUAUAGAAUCCGAUAAAGGAAACGAUAGAGCUGUACUUUUAGCUAUUUGACAGCUGCUGCAAACAGUCUUAGAUGAUGAAACAAAUUUUAUAAGCUUCUGUUGUUGCAAAUGCUUAACUAUCUGAGCAUUUGUGUGAGCCAAACGCUGGUGCCAUGUGUCUUCAUCGACUAUCUUUUGCUGCUGAGUAAAGAAGGCCUCUGCAGUUUGUGAAUUAGCUUGAUAAAGCCCUCUGGUUUUCCUUCCGAGCUUCACCAUUGUGUUGGUAAUGUUGUCCUUUACAUAAACACCAGUUUUAUCAAAGAUAAAGGAACAAGGGUAGUCGUCUGUGAGUUUAGAUACUGAAAGAAGAUUCUUCUUUAUCUCUGGGACAAUUAGGACAUUAUUAAGAGGUAAUGUACUAUUCUUUGUUUUCAGCCAAGUGUUGCCAAUGUGAGUUACAGGUAAGCAUGAUCCAUUGCCUACCAUAACAGUAUCAUUUCCUUGAUAUUUAGAAAGAGUAUGGAGCAUACCAGGAUUGGCACUGAUGUGAGCUGUAGCUCCAGAGUCAGGAUACCACUCACUUCCUGUUGAGUCCUCAAUAUGUAUUGCUGUUAAAGCUGCUGGAAUAUCCUCUGCUUGAUAAGAAUUGUCAAACCGAUACCAGCAGUGAAGAGCAUCAUGUCCAGAUCUUUUACAUAUUUGACAUUCUAUUCGAGUACUACUUGUUUCUUUUUCCUGCAAGUUCUUACUCGAGUUCACAGAUGGAUAAGUAUUGACAUUUUGAUAUCUUUGUGAGUAAGUGGUGUAGGGUCUAAACCUUUGAUUUGUUGUAGGGAUAACAUUUUUCUGACUGGGAUGUUGAUUUCCUUGUCCUGAAUUUGAGAUAUCUGUUCUGUAAUUCUGAUAUCUUUCAGAGCCACGACCUCUAUUGUUUCCAGUUCUGCCAUAGACACCAGCUCUGCCACGACCAUAGCUUCGACCACCUCUGUAACCUCCUCUCUGAGAUAUAAAUCCAGAAGCCUGAGAGAUGUUGUCUUCAUCUGUGAUAUCUUUAGACUGUUCCUGAAACUGUCUUUGUCCAAAGUAGGCCAAAUUCGGAUUGAACUGAUUUCGGGAAAGGGUCUUGAGUCUUGAUUCAAACCUUUCCAAUUGAGCAAUUACCUCAUCAUACUCAGGCUGAGGCUUUAAACAAUAUAUGGUAGUUCGAAAGUUUUCAUACUCAGGCCCUAAACCUUCCAAUACACCAAACAUUUUGGUUAUUUCAUCCACCGGUUUGCCUAUUGCAUUCAACUGAUCACAUAUGGAUUUAUGUUCUCUGAGAUAAACAGCAAGGGUUUGUUCAUGUUUUUGGCAUGAUUGAAGUUUCCCCCUUAGUUCGAACUCUCUAGCAAUUGACUUCUGUGUGAAUCUUUUCAGAAGAGUUUGCCAUACUUCAGAUGAUGUUUCUAAUCCAAUUAUCAGGCUCAGGAUGUUUUCAGUAACAGCUCCAGAGAUCCAUGAUGAAAUCAACUGAUCUGUUCUAGUCCAAUCAGUAUAAUCUGGAUUGAUAAGAUUUGUUUCGCAACCUUCAUCCUCUAUUUGUAUUAUUCGAGGAGGUGAAGUGAUAUCUCCAUUAACAAAACCAAACAGAUCCUGGCUUUUCAAAAACCUUUGGAUUUGAGCUUGCCACAAUAGGAAGUUGUCCUCGGCAAGCUUGAUUGUGACAAAGUUUGUGAUAUUCACAUGUAUCGGGAAAGGGUACUUUGGAGUUCUUAUUGCCAUUACUACGAAACUUUAGCUUGACAAAGAUGACACCAGUAAUGCUAUGAGUUCUUUCGUGCUUACCUUGAUCCAGAGAUCUUCAUUGUUCGAUCAUCUCUUCUGACUUGAUGCACGAACUGAUUACUGGACAGAUUUCUUCAUUCUGAUGCUUGAGACACUCCUGCUCUGAUACCAUGUAAAUUUGUGGAUUCAACGAUGCAAAGGAAGAAGAUGAAGAAUGAUGAUGGAGAUAAAGGAUAAACUCAAUAAUGCUGAAAAGGGAUCUUGAACAAGAAGAGUUCGUAUCUCAUUCUAUUGUAUUCAAGUUCUUUGUACAAAGUGAAAUGAAAGAAUACAAUUGAUCAAUAUUCGAGCUUCUCUGCUCUCUCCUCUCUAUCUCUCUUCUUCACCAUCAUAAUUCUCUCAAGCUCAGUUCUCUCAUUAUAUACUAAUGGAAGCACCAAACUAAUAACCAACUAAAACCGAACUAACUGACUCCAAAAACUAACAAACAGACUUUUACAACUCAGUAUAACAGAGUAGCAAGUUCAGAUACUUGGCAAUCCUCGUCAAUCCAUAUCUUGGGCAUUCGAUUAAUCUCCACCGUUAAUAGAACUGGUUAUCCACGUCUUUGGCUUAUUCUCUUCACGAUUGACUUCUGAUGAUCUCUGUCUAUCACUUGUUGAGGAUCCCCUGUGUCUACCUUUUGAUGUAGUAGAGUAAGACCAUUCAUCUUGAUGUAGUAUACUGAGCUGACAAUGUUGACAACCUUGAUCCUCUGUUAUGGACGGUCUUGAUCCUCUAACAGGCUGAUGGCACCAACGUAUAACGAAAACUCCCCGGUCCACGCAGCAUUCUAAACCCGAGUCCAUUUUUCCUCGUGUUCCUCUAGGAAGUAACGAACCAUCUUCUGCUGUGCCCAAAUUUUUUGGAUCCGAAACAUUGACUUCGGCUUCAAGAAUGCCGACGCAAAUAUCAUUUAUCAAAGCCAAAAACUAAUUGAGAACACCCCCCCCCCCCACGUCAAACGCCCACGUUUUAUUUGGGAUCCUAAAUUAUCAAUGAAAUGGAAAAUAAUCAAUAAAGCAUAAAACAUUGGAUUGUGACUUGUCAUAAAUAUGUUCUUUAAUUUCUUGACAGUUGGCAUGCUGAAAGAUGUAUACAAAAUUAUAGCUUCCAAAGGCUACGACGACCAAAGGAAGAGAAUGCAUGGUCACUUCUCAGUUAACAAAAAAAUUAUAGAUCGGUGGACUCACUCUUUAUAUUAGUAUGUAUACAGAUUCAAACCCUCCUAGCCAAACCCCAGAAAAGGGCAGCAAAACAAAACAAAACAGCAGUCCUCAUGCAAACACAUUCAAAAUGUGCAAACACAAGGAAACAAAGAUUGACAUCGAACCCCCGCAGCAAAAGGGAAAAGGAAAUUGCAAAUCAAUCGAACACUAAUCCCAAGCAACCCCAUCCAAAAUUGAUCUCGGAAAAUUUAAAGAGGACCUACUAUCGUCUUCGUAAAAAAUUAUUUGGACAUGUAAACUAUACAGUAAUGUGUUUGGAAGUUAUUUUGAAAUCAACUUACUUGUUCUAUGUCAUCCAAAAUCAGCACACAACUUUCUUGGCCCGGCACCACAUCAAGAGGUUUUUGGUGUCUUUGUGUUCCAUAUCUCCAGAACCGAGUUAUUCUCUGAUCGGGUCAAGAAGCUUAGCCAUUUCCUGGGCGUAUGAUAGAUCGCCCAUUGUGCGAUGUACAUCCCAAACAUCUCACUAGAAGAAAGGACCUCACAAAGGGUCUCAACUUUUGGUCAUUGUCUGCAUAUGCUCCAACACAAAGAGGCUGUCUUUAAAGACUUCAGCUCGUUCCAUGAUGAUUAAGUCCGAUAGAUGCAGCAAACAAGACUCAGAAAUGGGCUUCUUACAUAAACAAGAAAAUAAGCCACAGGAAUGACAAUCUUGGCGGCUCGGUGAGGCUUGAGCCUCGAGGCCUCCGCCUCGCUAGAUCCGGCGAGCUCAAGGCUCGCCUGGCUGGUUGCCAGCCAUCACCGUGCCGACUAUCGGAAGGAGGAGGAAGAAAGAAAAAUAAAGGAAAGAAAAAUAAAAAAUAAAAGAAAAUUUAAAAAUAAUUCUAAUUUCGAUUAAAAAAAAUAUUUUUGUAAAGUUAAAGAGGGAAGAGAGAGAUUGUGAGAUUUUAGUUAAAAAUGGGUUCUAAAUCCAACCUAUUUAAAACCCACUUAAGACCUACUUAUCUUAAGUCUUUGAUUGUUAAACCCAUUUAACUAUUUUUUUUCUCAAAAACUAAGUGACCCAUUUAUGAUUUAAAUGGGUCAUAUAUGGGUCUAAGACCCAUUUUGCCACCUCUACUUGCGGUGAAUGUUGCGUGUGGCCUCUUCAAGAAACCUUUAUCUAAAAGAUCAGUUGGAGGGAAAGUUUCUGGUUUAACAGCUUUGGGCCUAAAGGGAGGUUGAGUCCUCUCGAGUUCUUCUAUUUUUAAGGGGCGCCUCUGGAAUAUGGCUACGAUAAAAUCAAAUCAACUAUUUAAGGUUUGAUUUUCCAAUAAUAAAAAAGAGCUAUGUCAAGGUUGGCCCAAAUGAAACUGCUCCAUAUAAUGGUGAUAUGAAGAUGAUCACAUUACAUCGACCGAGAUAUAUUGAUCCAGUGACAAUGUUACGAUGAUGGUCCCAACAUAUAAAUGGAUCAUUGCUCACAUGAAAUUCCAACUAAAAAUCCUAUAAUUUUCGUCAAUAGUGCUAGAAUCACCAAUUGUUUUCCCUUGUUCACUUGAGAAUGAUUGAAAAAGUCAACUCAGUCACUAAUACCAAGUCAAAACUUGCAAACUAAUAGGCUUACUUAAUAAACCAUACACAUUAAGAACACAUAUUGCAGAUAAUUGAGAAAAUUAUUUUUAGAAAUUGUGAAUUGAUUUGAGAGAGGGAGAGAGGCGACUAGAGUCAUGGUAAAUGGCUGGAUGUUGAGUGGCUAAAAUGCUUGGUUGGAUUUAGCAUUUUGUUUAAUAUGGCAGUUAGGGCUUCAAAUGUGCAUUAUGGAAUUGGAUAAUUAUACUCAUUAGAUCUUGAAAGAGAUAAUGCGCAUCUAUUUAAGGAGAGCAAACUAAGUCUAUCCCCUACUUGUAAAGGAUGUCAAUCCCUGACUCAAAUGUAAAUCUUAAAUUGAAACCUUGCUUUUUUUUAACUUCUCUCUUUAGAAUUGCUCUACUUUUUACCCUAGUGAUGAUUCAAAGCAAAGUUAUUUCAAACCAAUCAACUUCAAUACAAAAGAACUUCAACAAAGACGUUGUGCCAAACUCAUGUGUCACAUUAACUUGCCCUAUCCCAUGCAUGAUGCUGCUCAUCAUCCAGAACUGUUUAAAAGAGAAAAGAAAAGGAAAGAAAUGCUAUCGUCUCCAUAAAUCUUUCUCCCUGAAUCUGUAAAUCUCAAAAAGUUCACGAGUUUCUGGUUUCUUUUCGUUUAAAGGUUAGUUAUACUUGACAUAAGUAAAUACUUUGACGCUUUUAAAAGUUAGUCGUUUUUAUAAUUAAAAAAGAAGAAGAAGAAGCUUUUAUGGCCUCAUCUUGCUAAAGCCUCUAAUUAACCAUCAACGCCAGCAGCAACCGCCGUAUGGCCAUGGCUGAUAUACUCCCUCUCUCUCUCUCUCUCUCUCUCUCUCUCUCUCUCUCUCUCUCUCUCUCUCUCUCUCUCUCUAAGAUGGCAUAACCAGGGGGGACUACCAAUGCAGAAGCUACCUACUCGUAAAAGGCAAGGAAAAGAAAGAAAGACGAAAGAAUCUUCAUGAACAUUGAACUCGUAUAUGUCACAUUAACCUGCCCUAUGCUAUCAUCUAGAACAGAAGUGUUUAAAAGAGAAAAGGAAAGAAAUCCAGUCAUCUCCACAAAUCUUUCCCCCGAAUCUGUCAAUCUAAAAAAGUUCAUAACAUUCUAGUUUCUUUUCGACCACAAGAUUUGCAGAUACAUGCAUGCAGUGUGCUUGAUUAGGUCCCGACGCUCACAAUCUCCAUAACGAAGCAUCCUCUCUGAGUGUCCCACCUGAAAAAAAUGAUAUCACCCACCUUGAUUUGUCUCACCAAGAGCACAUCGCUCAAAUUCAGAAAGUAAUGGCCAGUCCUUUGACACUUGGCGAAGUAUACAUUCAAGCCGCGGAAAUACAGAGGCCCAUUCACACCAUUGUUGUCGCCAUCGCUGCCACCAUGAUUGCGAUCCGUGUCGUCGCGGAUCGUCACGUAGUGCUUGUGGCCUGCCUGUAUGUUUUGCACGACGGACGUAGGCCAAUGACGGAACAUGUUAUCCAAGGCUAUGUUGUCCCUAACUGGCAGCUUCUUCGUCUCAAGAACGAACUCAUCAACGACGUUAUAGAGGGUCGUGUGGUCGUGAGAGUCAGACUGGGGGAGCGGAUCUUCAUCCUGGAUGUCGACUGGCUCGCGUUCAACCUCGUGGGGAAUGUUUUGGGCCCUCUCCGCAUCUUCAGCCGGAGCUUGGUUAUUUUGGUCUGAUGAUUCUGGCGGGGAGAAUGAUCCUGCGCUGCUGGAUGCGCUGCUGGACUGGGGAACAUCGUCUGUUGUGGAAGAGCCGUUCAUUUUCUUGAAUUUCUUGAUGCGGUUAUUCGUCGGCGGGAGGGUUUCGAUGGAGGAAUUGGAAAUGCUGAUCUCGAUGGAAACAGUUUCUCUGCAAUAUGGAACCACCGUGAAAAUCUGAGUAGCGCACAAAUUUUUUACCCCGCAUCUUGAUUUGCUGAGUGAAAAGAUAAACGGAACGAAACGAGAUAAAUGUGAACCCUAAGAAGCUUUCAAUGGGCACCUUUUUCUGGAUCACCUACGACAAGUUUUUUCGAAGGAGAUUAUCUUUAUGCACACAUCAAGAAGUGUUGGUGUAGAACAUUGUCCAUCUAUCAGGAAGCAACCAUGCAACGAGCUUGCAAUUCGAGAAAGCUAACCAGACCAAGAAAUCUCGAACAAUGUGGCCCAGUAAAUCGAAGAACUUCAACGCGGGCUUCUGCUCUUCGCUGGGGACUAGGAACGGAGGAUUGAACUUCGAUGGAUGGCCCCGUUCGUUCAGCGGUCGAAAUGCACGAGAAUGCUCCGACGGCUGAAGAGAAGAUGGACUGAGGAGAUGGUUCAGUUGUGAUGGACUUUUGAAUAACGUAGGCUCUUCGAGAAAUCUUAACGAAAGAAGUUGAGGGUGAGUUUUUCUGGUCUAACCGACUCUGUGGCCCCAAAAUGGAGAUCAAGUCCUCCGGAGGCUUUUAAAAGGUGAUCGUCAAUUAAUUUACCGUAAAUCACAUAUAAAGAGGAAAGUGCAUAUAUAUCUCGUAAAUUUCAAUUUCUAAAAUGAAAAUAAAAUCCCUUGUUUGGAGAAAGUAUACUUUUCACUAGUAAAAAUACCAUAUAUUCUAUGGUAUAUUGCUUUUGUCGGGAGUAAAGUACGGCUGUUCAUCAUGAUAAAUUUUUACUUGUUCACAAUAAAUCUUUUAACUUUAUCAAUAUAACUUCAAACUAAGAAGUUUGCCGACAAUCGUCGUGGUUAACGGGUGUGAAUUCGGGGAAAAUUUUAUUUCUUCAAAGUAAAUCUUUUUCUAUGAAAUAAUAUCAUAUUUCAAGCAAAACAUUUUACGUGGUAAGUUAAACUCACUACAAGAAACAUUGAAAUAUUGUUUAACAAAAUUGAAAGAGAGAAGAGGGAGGAGGGAGAGGUGGCUUUUGGUGUUUGCGGGAAUUCCCCAACCACCGUUGUCAAUGGCGCCCGUUACAUUUGUUAAGGCGAGGGUCGAGCAACAAUUAGCCAUGACCUUGGUGGCAUAUGAAUGUUCUAUGACUCUUGACCUAAGAAAUAUGAUUUUAGAGAAGGAUUAAUAUUCUCUCCAUUUGUGCGGUAAAUUAACAUAUUAAAAUUUUCACCCCCUUAAAUUAAUGAUACAUUAGCAAAUAAAAUAAUGGAGGGUUCCGGUUUACACAGAUUAUGGGGACAAUCUUUUAACCUCAAAUACCCUCAAAUUUGCAAAAGAAAAAAAAAAUUGUUGGUCAAUCCUUUAAGAAGUAGCGACUAUAGCAAUGGUUGUUUUGGGAACGAGGGUUUAAGAUUUUGUUUGUUUUGGGAAUGAUUUUUUCUUUUAAUGUGGCUUGUUUGAUUCAUUGAUCAUGACUAUUUAAAUCAUAAAAGAGGUUGGUGUAUAAUUUCAUUUAAAGAGGGUACAUAGAUGAUGCUAAUCUAUCCCUAAAUGGGAAAACAAAGAAGUCAAUUUACUCUAAAAUCUAAAGAUGAAUCUUGUUAAUAGACUGCUCAGGGGCAUUAGCUAAGACCUUAAAAAAUAGGGAUAACAUAUAUGAACGCACUUUCAAAAUUAAGCGUGACACUUAUAGAAAACAUACCUUCUUCAAAUAGAAAUGAUGAUUGUUCCAAAAACAAUAAAUGAGACAUAUUAAAUGCCUCGAAGACACUCUUUUAACAUUUUCCUAUAACAUUUUACCUUCAAUGCUCUCUUGAAUACUCAAUCCAUGAUUUGAUUGUUUUCUUCAGUACUUUUACCAAACCAGUCAACUUCAAUAUACAAAUUAACAAAAUGUGAAUUGCACAAAGAGACGAUGUGGAAUGGAGGUGACUUGAAAUUACGUGCACAAAAGUUGUAUGGAUUACAGGUCUAAUGCUAGUCGGGCGAAUAUGGGUCUCGUGGCAUAAUUAUGUCAUGUGGCGAUAUAUAGGCGAAAUUAAGUGUAAUUGGAGGAUGUAUACAUAUAUGGGUUUGAAUCGUUGGGAUAAUUAACCGUGGAAUUUCUUGGGUGAUAAUUUUGUUUGAGAUAGAUAUCAAGGUCGGCUACCUCUGCGAGCUCUUAAGCAACAAAAGAAAUCGCACCAAAAAAAAAAAAAAAAACAGAAGAAGAAGAGGAGAGAAAAGGCAUUUUGCUGAUCGUUUUAUUAUCUAUUAUAGCGGUCUUUAUCUAGAAAAGAAUUUGACCACAUAAAAGAAAGAUAAGAGCAUAGGUUUGACGUUUUUUCUUUAUGAUCGUACAAAAGGGAUUCACCUUUUGCCCCACAGUAGCCUUCGUCCUUUAAGCUGCCGGAAAAAUGUAGGGUUCGCACUAUCGUUGAUUUUUCGGGAUCUGUUUCACUUAACAAAGAAGAGCCACAAUCGGUGUUGCUCACUUUCAAGCUUGUUCAAUAUUGGAGAAAUUGUUUUCAUCGAGAUCAGCAUUUCAAAGAAAUCGCAUAUUGAUUUGAGAGAGAGACACCACUGGAGUGGUGGCAAAUGACCGGAGGCCGAGUGGCUGAGUGGCUAAAGGGCUUGGUUGGAUUUAGCGUUUUGUCGAUAUGGAAUUGAGGUUUUGAAUGUGGAUUAUGAAAUUGGAUAACUAUACUUAAAAGAGAUCAUGCGCAUCUACUCAAGAGGGUAAAUUUUAUCCACUCAAUUCAUCCUCUAAUUAUAAAGGAUGUCAAUCACCGAUACAAAUAUAAAUUUUACUUUAAAACAUUUCUUUCUUUGGAUUAUUUUCUUCAGAAUCGCUCUGCUUUUGUCCCAGUAAUGAUUCAAAAUGGAGUUAUUUCAAACCGGUCAAUUUUAACACUAAAGAAAUUCAACACCGGCUUCGUACCAAACUCGUAUGUCACAUUAACUUGCCCCAUGCGAUGGAUGAUGCUACUCAUCAAGAAUAGAAGUGUUUGAAAAAAAAAGAAAAGGAAAGAAAUCCUAUCGUCUCCAUAAAUCCGUCUCCUAAAUCUGUAAUUCUCAAAAAGUUCAUAAUAUUAUGGUUUCGUUUUGACCAGAAAGAUUUGCACUUGCAUGCAUGCAAUGUGCUUGGCUAGUUCCCGACGCUCACAACCUCCAUAGCGAAGCAUCCUUUCUGAAUGUCCCACUUGAAUAGAAUGAUAUCUCCCACAUUGGUUUGUCUCGCCAGGAACACAUCGCUCAUAUUCAGAAAAUAAUGGCCGGUCCUAUGACACUUGGCGAAGUAUACAUUCAAGCCGCGGAAAUACAGAGGCUGAUUCGCACAAUUGUCACUGUCGCCGCCACCGCUGCCAUGAUUGCAAUCUGUGUCAUCACGUAUCGUCACGUAAUGCCUGUGGCCUGCCUGUAUGUUUUGCACGACGGACAUAGGCCAGUGACGGAACAUGCUAUCCAAGGCUACAUGGUCCCUGACUGGUACCUUCUCCGCCGCAAGAUCAAACUCAUCUACGACCUUAUAGAGGGUCGGGUGGUCGUGAGAGUCGGACCGGGGGAGCGGAUCUUCAUCCCGGAUCUCUACUGGGUUGCGGUUGACCUCGUGGGGAAGGUUUUGGGCCCUCUCCCCGUCUUCAGCGGCUUUGCUCGGGAGGAAGUCACGGUAGUGAUAGGUGUUCGUUGCCGGAGCUUGGUUGUUUUGGUCCGAUGAUUGUGGCGGGGAGGAUGAUCCAGCGCUGCUGGACUGUGGAACAUCGUUUGCUGGGGAAGAGCUGUGCAUUCUCUUGAUUUUCUUGCUGUGGUUAUUCGUCAGCGGGAGGGUUUCGACGGAGGAAGUGGAAUUGCUGAUCCUGGUUGUUGACACCUCAAUUUUAAUUAGGUUAAUUUUAUUUUAUUAAGUUUUUAUUUUAUUUCGGAUAAAUAAGAUAAUUAAAAAAAACCAAAAAAACAAGUAAAAACAAGAAAAGCAAAAAGCAAAAAAAAAAAAAAAAGCAGCAACCCCCCUUUUUUCUUCACGUGGGCUCGUGCGACUUGGCCCCACCCCCCUUUUCUCCUUCUUCUUCCUUCUUCUUCUUCCCUCUUCUUCUUCCUCGCUCCUUCUUUCUCCGCCUCUGUAGUUCACGCGCAGAAGAUGACGACGCGCGCAAAGGACGGCCUACGGCCGAGGGGAGUAGGCCGACGUCGGCCGGAGAAGAUAAGAUCGUGAGCGCCAUCAAUGCCGAGCAUGCUUCGCUGGAUGAGCUCGGAUGGGACGCCGGUUCAGCCGAGGAGAACCGCUCGGCGCACGAAGGGGACCGGCAGUCAAAGCUCCGUCGACCGGAUUCCCUCGCCUAUAAAAGGGCAUCACCUUCGUCGAAGAACAGCACGGGCGAGCUCGGAGAUCCUUCACUGAGAGACAUCGGGAAGGAUUGAAGGGCGAGUGCGGGAGAGAACUUGGGUCGCGAGCUCGGCUGACCUUCCACUGAGAGACUUCGAGGGAGGCCGCCGGCGAGCGAGUCCGAGAAGGUCAGAUCCGGCCGGUGGAGGCUCGGAUCUGGCCUGAGUGAGAGAGAAGCGAGGUCGGGCUGAGAAGUGAAGAAGGUGAGAUCCGAGCGGAAGGAGCUGAGCGAGAGAAGAUCCGAAGGAGAGAGGGUCGAGAUCUGGGCGCAGAUCUGGAAAUCCGCCGUGCCGAGUUGCCCCGAGCCAGGCCGCCGCCGUCGCUGUGGCCGAGCACCAGUCCCGACGCCGUCAAACCGUACUGUCGCCCCCGCGCCUCGCUGCUGCUGUUUUUCCCGACGCCAUCCAGGUUUAAGGGCCGCCGUCAUCGCCACAAGCCGUGCCGUGCCAACGCCGAGAGCAGGUGACAAUAGAUCCUGCCCACGCCAUACCGAUUUCUGCUCGAAGCUCUGACCGUCGUCGCCGCCGUCGCCACCGUGCACCUCAGCCUUCCCCUCUCCGGCACCGUGAAUCGAGAACCCUAGGGUUCUCGAUUUUCCGGGUCGCGGCCUCAGGUCAGUGGGUCGGACCCGGGGCUACGAGUCGGGUAGGGUUUCUCCGUAUUUUGGGGAGCGGCGGAAACCGGGUGGGGUUCGGGUCGGAUCCGGGUAGGGUUUCACCGGGGGAGCGGGUUGUGGAGCCGGGUCGUCGGGCCGGGCUGGAUCCCUCCCAAAACGAUGGGCCACGACGUCAUUUCAAUAAAUAAAAAAAAAGAAAAGAAAAAGACGAAAAAAUCCGAGUCGGGCCCGCAACGCGAGCCCGUCCUCGUUCGGAUCGCUGGCCCGGAUCGGACCCAACCCGCGGAUCCGACCCGGGUCAGUUUUUAUAUUAUUUUAAUAUAAAAUAAUAUUUUAAAUAAAAAAAAAUUUAUUUUCAAAAAAAAUUAAAAAAAAAUUAUUUUCAAAAAAUAUUAAAAAAUGUUUAAUUUCUAGAAAAUCGAAAAAUAUUUAAAAAUGUCGAAAAAUGUUUUAUUUUCCAAAAAAAAUAAAAAAUAUGCCAAAAAUCCAAAAAAGGCCAAAAAUUCAUGAAAAAGCCAAAAAAUUCAGAAAAGCCAAAAAGACUUGUAUUUUUCAAAAAAAAAAUCUCAAAAAAUCCCUUUUGCGUCCAAAAUUAGAAAAUGACUCAAAAAAUGUUUUCCCUCCCAAAAAUGCAUGGAAAAUCUCUCGAACAUCCAAAAAACCUAAGGGUUUAAACAAGAUUAGAUACCGAAAGGGCAUUAGUGAUUAACUAGUGUAAUCAAGUCCCCGAUCCUAAUUUCUCUGGUUGCGCAGGAGCAAGUAUUUCUCCCGAUACUUCGCUUGGGUUUCUAAUCGACCCACCCCAAACCGAUUAGUGGCGACUCCAUUUUAAAAUUAAUUUACAGGUCAAAAAUUUAGAUUAUUAAAGUCGUGAAUUGGUGGACUUGGGAGAGUCCGGGCUUAAUAAUUUCAGCCGAGCCAUUAGCCUCCUUAGGCGCUCGUACCCGAUUGUGUGCGCCGAGAAAAAAAAGGUCGCGACACUGGUGGAAACAAUUUCUCUGCAAUAUGGAACGAGCAUGAAAGGUGAGCAACACCGAUCUUUAAGUGAAACAAAUCCCAAAAAAUCGUCAAGAGUGCCAAUCUUAAGUCUUGUCAGAAUUGACCGGAUCGUACAAUUAAAUCAAUGCGGAAUCACCGUCUGUUCUGAACCUGUGGCCAAGAAAGUCCGGCUUCAAGGCAUCCCCGGGCGUGAAGACGUCAUCCAGCGGCUCCUGGCUUAAAGAACGAAGUCCACCGUGCGGCAAAAGAUGAAUCUUUUUUUAUGAACAUAAAGAAAGGAACUCAAACCUACGCUUUUAUAUUUGUUUUAUGCGGUCAAAUUCUUAUAUAGAUAGAGACCACCGUAAUAGAUAAGACCAAUAAGCGGAAUGCCUAUCCUUUCCCUUCUUAUUUUUAUUUUCUCGUGCGAUUUCUAGUGUUGCUUAAGUGCCCUGUUGAUGUAGCCGACCUUGAUAUUUAUCUCCAGCGAAAUAAACACUCGAGGAAUUCCAUGCCUAAUUAUUCCAACAAUUCAAAUCGAUAUACAUCCUCCGAUCAGAUUGAGUUUCGUAAAUGACUUCAAAUUCAGCACAAUAUAAACUUAAUUUCGCCAAUAUGAUUGCCACAUGGCAUAAUUGUGCCAUGGGACCCAUAUUCGCCCAAUCAGUAUUAGACACGUAAUUUGUACAUCUACUUCACAGGAAAUUUCAAGUCACCUCGAAUCGAUUUUCGAUGAGUUUUACUCUUUAAUCCUUUUAAUUGUCUUCAAUAAAAUUACUCAUUCCAUUUCCAAUCUUAAUCGUUCACUUUACAGGAUUCUACGGAUGCCGCUUGGGUUAAUGAAAUCAUUUCUCCAAGCGAUUCACAUUGUGUUGAAUCUAUCAUUUUCCAUUUUUACUUUAUAUCAUUUUAAAUUCAGGGAUUUGAUUACAUAAAAAAAUCAUUUAAUGCAUUUUAUUAUAGAAAUAGUAUUUACUAGUUAUGUAAGGCUUACUGCGCUUCUCUGAUUUAAUUAGUUUUCCUAUAUUUGCUAGUUUUAUUAAUUUCAUUAAUUUAAUUUUUAGACUAUUUAAGAGGAAUUUUUUUAUAUAUAAACUGAAAAUAUGGAACUUACGGAAUUAUGAUCAUGAAAUGUUUGAUGAGUGUGACCAGAAUUUAUUUAUAAGACAAACGGUUUCACGUCAUUUGGUCAUCCAAAAAAUGAUACAUAUAAUUUUUCCUUGAUUUCUUCUUCGAUUAUUUAAUUUCCAUCUUAUUUUCACUUCUAUUGCUCAUAAAAUGUUAAAUUUCCGUGUUAAGUAGAAGGAGAAGAGGUAGAAAAGGGUUUUAGUUAAUGUAAUUUGCAAACAAAUUUUUGACAUAUGUAACCCAUGACAAGCAUGGACAAGAACUGUGAAGAUGCUUAUAUAAAUUAUAUUAGAAAAAUCUCACAUCAACAAAUGGUAUAGUUUGAGUAGUUAAAAUAUCAUAAUUGGUCCUAAUUAACUUAAACUUUUGAGUCAAGGUUCAGUUAAUACCGGGCUUCUAUUACACGUCUCCAACAAAUUGAUAUUAGAGUUGGUGAUUGGUUGGUGGAACGAAUUAUCAAGUUGGUAUAGGCUGUUUUAAUCUCCUUCAAAAGGUUUUUGAGUUAUUCUGUUGGUAUAAACCAUUUUAAUUUCAUUCAAAAGGCAUUUCGCGACGGGAAAAACUAAUCAUUUAUUCUUGUAACUCUUUUGGUGUGUUUGUUUGAGUGAAAGUGUUUUCCAAAAAUUAAUUUUUCGAUCCUUCACAUGUUUGAUUUUCCGGUCAAUAAUCAUAUACAUGCUUAAAAUAAGCAAGCACACCAGUAGACCAACAAUGUAUGCUGAAUCCUAUAUUGUUGGGAUUAACGGAUCCCCAAAAACUGGAUUCGACACUAAAUCGAACCCCUAAAAGAGUGCGGAAGACGAAGCCCGGGAAAAUCACGUAUCACCGAUCCUAAAGCACACCAUGGAUUCGAGCGUACCUUGUUAGCCACAGAUUAAACACCAAUGCUGAAGUGAGGAAGAGAAAUUGGCCCUGUUCGAUUCGAUGAUGACAAUUCGCUUGAAGGGAAGACAGCGUCGCCUCUUUUUGCUUACUGUUCCUUUUGGAUGAGAGAGAGAGAACGUUGGAAAGAGAGGGAGACGUAUGUACGGUAUGUCCAAGAGGUGCGUUCUCCCUCUCUCUCCUCCCUUUUAUACGUCCCUCCAUCCACGGGCCAUAUUCCUAUGGGCCAGGCUUUUAGGCCCAACAUGGGCGGACGGGCCUUAAGCCCAUCUCAUAUAAAACCAUCAUCUCCCACUCGCACAUGGUGGGCUGAACAUAAUUCUCUUUACCUCUCUUCAACAUUCAUACCGGUGAAUAAUCCGUGCGACCAGCAUACUUUGAGAGCUCGUUGCCAUACAUCUAUUAGGAAUAUAUAGCAGCUCAUAAUGGGCAUCACACUCCGAGUAGAUUUAGUAUGCAGUACCCUAGAUCGAUCGAUCACAUUUAUAUCUCUCUUGAUCCCUUUCAAACAAUUAUAUAUAUAAUAUAUAUAUAUAUAUAUAUAUUAUAUUGUAUUCACAAUUAUGAUUAUCUCAAAGACAGUCAUAAUUGGUUAACCGGUGAAUACAAAACUACAAUGUGAUUCUCUAAAAUCGAUCUUCCUCUUCCCUUCAAACUCUCAAUUUAAGUUCAGCUUGCUUUUCUAAAAAUGCCCCAUUAGAUCGAAUCAACUCAUGACCAUUGGCAACAUCCUAAGAUAGCAAACACUAAAUAGAAAUCUUGAGAAUAAGUAAGAGUCAUGAGGAGACUAAAAAUUGAGGAACUCUUUUCCUCAAGAGUCUCACACGACAUAAAAGUUGAGAUAAAACUUUUGUCACUCUUAUUGGUUGUUUCAUGCAUACGUAAUAUGAAAUACGUAUUACGGUAUUAACUCAUUUCCCAUGGAGCGUAUGUCUAUACCUUUCAAUACCGUACAGAUGAUAGUUCAGACAUACCCAAUGUCUAACUUGAGUUCACGUAUCUACUCAUUCACAAAAUUCAUCAAAACUCACAUCUUGCAUCAUAGACAGAUAAAGUAAAAUAUGUUGGGUAUUUUACUUUCGGACAUAGUAAGUAUUAUGUCCUCAUCUUAACACUCAGUUAAGGCGACAUACGUAUUUUAAGCUUGAGCUCUCGACUAUCAUCUAGAUAAUAAGCUUAAAAACAGUCUCAUCUCUAUUUAUCACACAGUAAAUAGAGGCGAUUACCCGUGUGAGUGGGCUAAUCUUAUAUCUAUCCGACAUACUUUCUCAACUUAAAAUAAUACACUAAGCAUUAAGAUGCAUAAAGAUCAAACAAAGAUUCAUAGGCAUUAAUGAUGAAAAAACACAAAUUCAUCAAAUGUGAACACUUCAGGGAAAUUACAAUCCAGUACAUCAGACUCUACGCAAUCCUAGAGAUUUUACAUGGCCACAAAACACAUCUCUAGGUUUUGGCUUUGUCAUAGGAUCUGCUACCAUUCUAUGCGUAACAUGUACUGUAAGUUCACAUCUUUUCGUGCAAUCAUAUUCUUGACAAAAUUAUACUUGGUAUCUAUAUGUUUGGUCUUGCCAUGAUAUUUUGGAUCUUUGGUGUACGCUUUUGCUGCUUGGCUAUCACAGUUAACCAACAAUGAAUCUGUAGCACUUCAAAUAACACCUAAAUGAUCCAAUAAUCUCUUAAGCCAAAUAUCUUCUUUUAUUGCUGCUGAUAAUGUCACAAACUCAGUUUCCAUCGUGGACAAGGCUAUACACCUUUGUUUCUUACUGCUCCAACAUAUGGUGCCAUUAUUCAGUAAGAAAACAAAGCUAGAGGUAGAUUUUCUUUCAUCUAAAUCUCCUCUCCAAUCAGCAUCAGAAUAGCCUUUGAGUUGCAGAUCCUUUCCAUAAUAACUCAAUGUAUAAUCAGCAGUCCCCUUUAGAUACCUUAGUAUUCAUUUAACGGCUUUCCAACGUGCUUGACCUGGGUUGGAUAGGUAUCUACUCAUUAUUCCAACUGCAUAACAUAUGUCAGGUCUUGUACACAUCAUAGCGUACAUCAAGCUCCCAACAACACUAGCAUAAAGAACAUAUUUCGUUUGUUCCUUCUUUUGUGGAGUCCUUAGACACAGUCUAUGGCUCAAUCCUUCACCUUUUGCAAUAGGAGUGUCUUUGGGUUUACAAUCCCAUAUCAUUCAAUUCAAAAUUGGAAGACAACCAACUUUUUGACAGUAUUGGCAAGCUCUAUAUUACUUCCGGCAAUUAGUAUAUCAUCAACAUAUACUGAUAUGAUCACAAAUUGAUCCUUGGAUCUUUUGAUAUAUAUAUAUAUAAUGAUCCUCAUCUAUCAUUGUAAAAUCAUAUGCCAUUAUGGCAUUAUGAAAUCGUAUAUACCAUUGUCUUGACGACUGCUUAAGGCCAUAUAUCAACCUCAAAAGUCGACAUACCUUUUCUUCUUGGCCUUUCACUAUGAAACCAGCAUGUUGUUCCAUAUAUGUUCCUUCCUCUAAUUCUCCAUUGAGGAAAGUAGUCUUUACAUCCAUUUGAUGUAACUCAAGAUCCAUACUAACAAUUAUUGCCAGAAUUAUGCGAAUCGAGGUAAAUCUCACUACAGGAGAAAAUGUUUUUCAUAAUCAAUUCCUUCAUGUUAANNNNNNNNNNNNNNNNNNNNNNNNNNNNNNNNNNNNNNNNNNNNNNNNNNNNNNNNNNNNNNNNNNNNNNNNNNNNNNNNNNNNNNNNNNNNNNNNNNNNAUCGAGCCAUCAGCCUUUCGCUUAUUUUGAGAACCCACUUGUUCCUAAUAGCUCUGCGUCCUUUUUUGAAGAUCAACCAGUUCCCAGACUUGGUUUGAUUUCAUGCACUCCAUUUCCUCUUUCAUUGCAUAAAUCCAUUUUUCCUUACUAGGGCAAUUUAGAGCCUCAUUUAUAUUUCUUGGCUCAUCCUCAUCUUGCGGAGCAAUCAUAAAAGUUUCCCCUUUAAUGUCAAAACGUCGACGGGGAAUACUUUGGCGACUUGUUCGCCGUAUAGGAGAUUGUACACUUAGCACAUUAUUCCCCAUAAUGCUCCCACUAGGAUUAGAUAAUGAUGACAUCGUCUCAUCAUAUGGUUGUAAUUGAGAAUGAGUUGAAUUCAAUUCAUCACUUCUCAUAUUACUCCCACUUGGACGAACUCCACUAAUAUUAUUAUCUUGAUCUAAGGUUUCAAAUAGGAAGUAAUCUUCCCCUAUUUCGCCCCUCUUAGGAAAUUCAUCCACUAAGGAUGUGACAUCCCGUGAUUCAAAUUCAGUUAUACUCCCACUUUCCUGCUCACCUAUGAACACAUACCCUUUCGAGUGUUCGGAGUAUCUCAUUAAAAUAUUCUAUUUUUCUUCGGGACCCAAUUUCCCAAACUUGUGAGAGGACUUAUGAGUAUAGGCAACAUAACCCCAUGGCUUAAGUAAACUUAAGUCCGGUUUUCUACCUAUCCAUAACUCAUAUAGAGUGGAACUAACUAAUUUGGAAGGCACCCGGUUAAGUAUAUAAGCAGCAUUUAACAACGCAUCACUCCAAAAAAGUGAUAUGUAAGUUAGCAUGCGCCAUCAUGGACCUAACCCUUUCCAGUAGGGUUCUGUUUCUUCUCUCUGCAACACCAUUUCGUUGAGGAAUAUUUGGAAUAGACAAAUUUUUUUCUAUUCCUUUUUCACCACAUAAUUUUCUGAACUCAUCAGAUAAAUAUUCUCGACCUCGAUCGGAUCUCAAAACUUUUAUUUUCUUGUCUAAUUGAUUUUCUACCAAGUUCACAAAUCUUUUGAAACAACAUAAUGCUUUAGAUUUAUGAGAAAUCAAAUAGACAUAUCCGAAUCGAGUAUAAUCAUCUAUAAAAGUGAUGAAAUAAACAACCCUAUGACUUCCUCUCACAUUCAUUGAACCACAGACGUCAGAAUGGAUUAAAUGCAGAGGAAAUUCAGUUUUUUUACCUUUUCCAAAUGGUUUCAUUAUCGAUUUCCCUACUAGGCAUUGCUCAUAUAUGGGCAAAUCGACUUUUUCAAUAUUGCCCAACAAGCCUUCUUUGGCUAGUCUAUUCAUACGAUGUUGGCCAAUAUGGCCAAGUCUAGCAUGCCACAUAAUCACAUAAUUAUCAUAUGAAGUAGAAGACAUGAAAUAAGAGAAUAACAAAUAUUGACAUCACUACAGUCAACAUUUAAUACAAUAAAACCAUCCAUAAAAUGACCACAACCAUAGUAGUUUGUAGCCAAAUACAAAUCUACACCGCUAUUACGGAGGUUCACACUUAAAACAAGCUUAACCAACAUCAAAACAGACACUUAAAUUUCGACGAAUCUCCAGAGCAUAUAGAACAUCAUGUAGGAACAAGAUGCGUCCAUCACGCACGCUCAAUUGGCAGGUGUCAAUCCCUUUAACUUCAUCUCUGGAGUUAUAUCCCACAUAGAUCCACUUAGUUCCAGUUGGUACUCGUCGGAAUUCCACGAAGGAUCCUCUAUCCUUUGUUACAUCGUCUGUUGCUCCUGAAUCUACAAUCCACAAAGAAUUGGAUUCAGCCAAUAAUACAGAACUUGACACAUAAGCAAAGUUCUCAAAUGUACAAGAGGUGUUUACCUUCUUUGGCUCACGACAGUCGCGAGCAUAGUGACCUUUCUUGUCACAAUUGUAACACCUCACCCUUGACAUUUUCUUUACUUGAGGACGUUUUCAUCUCUUGUGUUGGUUAACUCUUGAUCUCUUGCAAUAAGGAUUUGAUCAUUUGCAUUCCCACAUAUUGAACGAAUCAAUACGCUUGCGCUUAGAGCUCAAAGCCCUUUCUGAGCUAGAACCAGCAUUUUAAAUAUCUAUUUUCGGCUCACAUGCCGUCAAGCGGUCCUCUACCAGCUCAAGGUGGCGCACAGCAUCCUCAAAAUCUUCCAUAACAUGGUCAAGAGCUUCUAAUGCUUCUUGCUUUUCUAGCACAUAUUGAAUCUUCAUUUUCAAUAUUUCACAAUUGUUGCCGUUCAUUUCAGCAAUUACGUUCUUAGUUGCUGAAAUAAUCAAUCUGAACACAUCAGACAUAUAUGCACGAAUAAUUAAUGCCUAUCAUUUAUGCAUCCAUUUUGCACAUACCCAUCAUAUCAAUGAAUAAUUUUAAGUAAUGUUUCAGAAUCAAAAUGUCACUAUGUUUCCAAUCAUCCUCCAAAAAUCCUAACUUAAAACUAUCAUUAAUAUAAUUGUCUUAUGCAAAAUAAAUUCUAUGAAGUUACAAAAACUUCUAUAACUACCCACAGCAACCAGCAAUAACAGAAAGCAACAUAUAAUUGACAUUCAAUAAAAUAAUAAUGCUUUCAACUAAUACAACAAUCCAUUACACUAAAUAAUAUAUACAAAGAAAAAUAUCAACAUGGAAAGAGAUAUUUAACACUCAAAAAACAUCUCAAACUAAUCUAAGAAAUAAAUAGGGAAAGUCUCUUCUAAUCUAUCAGUCAAAAUAUCUGAGAAAUUUGAAGGCACAUUUGCCAACCAUGGAAAAACUUUUGGAGAGCUCUCAUGUCGCCUCCAAGGCGCAUUCACUCUAAGCCAAUGUGGCGCUCAAUCUAAGGGUUGAAGCUUUGGCCAACUCAAUCCUAUAAUGCUCUCUUACAAAAGCUUCCACUAGCCUCCUAUAACCCGGGACCACGUUGACCUCCCAUAGCCGAUCUAACACUGCUUGCCAUUCAGGUGGAAAAGUGUUCAUCAAAGCCGGCACCUUCUCAAAAUCCGGCAUAAGAUAACUAGUCCAGAUGCUUUCCUGUAUAAUCUGAUUGACCCUGACCACGUGUGAUACUAAAUCACCGUCAUGCCACCGAUAAUCAGCUAACUCUUUCAUCAGCCUUUUAAGUCUAGCUCUUCCUUCGUCUGUUCUCGGGAUUGCAGGUAUCCGUGCAUAACGCAUCAUAGUUCUNNNNNNNNNNNNNNNNNNNNNNNNNNNNNNNNNNNNNNNNNNNNNNNNNNNNNNNNNNNNNNNNNNNNNNNNNNNNNNNNNNNNNNNNNNNNNNNNNNNNNNNNNNNNNNNNNNNNNNNNNNNNNNNNNNNNNNNNNNNNNNNNNNNNNNNNNNNNNNNNNNNNNNNNNNNNNNNNNNNNNNNNNNNNNNNNNNNNNNNNNNNNNNNNNNNNNNNNNNNNNNNNNNNNNNNNNNCAACGGUCAGGUCGUCGGUCGUCGGAUCAGUCGAAUCGGACGGACCGAUCGGCCCGGUCGGGCCGGGUCGGACGAACUGACCGCACGUGCCGCGCGCAUGCGCGGGCUGACGUCACGCAGACGUUAGUUGGCACGUGCCGCACGUGUGCCAGGCGUCCGCAGGACGGGUCGGGUCGCCGGCCAAUGACCGCCCGGCCAACCGUCGUCGGCGUUGACGUCAUCGAUGACGUCAUCCCAGCGGUUACCGACCGUUGGGUGAUGUCGUGCUGACGUCAGCACGCGUCGGUCCACCAACCGGCGCGUGCUGGUUCGCCGGCUGGCAGCGCGCACGUGCCGGUUCGCCGACCGGCGCGUGUGGCGCACGCGCUGGCCAAUGCCAGCGCUUCGGGCGCGUGCGGCGUCGCCCGGCGGCGCACGACAUGUCGCCGGACUCGUCUCGACGAGUGCUUUCACCCUAUGCUUUCAGAAAAUGAUUUCGACUUACAGAAACUCGAAAAAAUGGACGAACAGCGCUCGGGUGUCGGGAUUUCUCGCCCCGAUCCGUACGGCCGAAAAUUUUCUCGAAAAAUCAAUCAAAAAACAUCAAACAGGUCGGGAAAACGUGAACUAGGGCUCUAAUACCAAUGUUGGGAUUAACGGAUCCCCAAAAACCGGAUUCGAUACUAAAUCGAACCCCUAAAAGAGUGCGGAAGACGAAGCCCAGGAAAAUCACGUAUCACCGAUCCUAAAGCACACCACGGAUUCAAGCGUACCUUGUUAGCCACAAAUUAAACACCAAUGCUGAAGUGAGGAAGAGAAAUUGGCCCUGUUCGAUCCGAUGACGACAAUUCGCUUGAAGGGAAGACAGCGUCUUCUCUUUUUGCUUACUGUUCCUUUUGGAUGAGAGAGAUAGAACGUUGGAAAGAGAGGGAGACGUACGUACGUUAUGUCCAAGAGGUGCGUUCUCCCUCUCUCUCCUCCCUUUUAUACGUCCCUCCAUCCACGGGCCAUAUUCCUAUGGGCCGGGCUUUUAGGCCCAAUAUGGACGGACGGGCCUUAAGCCCAUCUCAUAUAAAACCAUCAUAUAUAUUACAUCCUGCUACACGUAAGAAAAGAGUUAACUCUCCAAAGCAAAGCAACCCAUCAAAUGUUCACGUCACGUGUAAGGCCAAUUCAUUGAGAACAUAUACCUGUCGAAGAAGAAGUACAGGAAAAGCAUCGAUCAUGAAACUUUAGCCUUAAAGCAGCGAGCAGACGAUGACACGCAGACACCCAUCCGACGGAAUCAAGAAAUCAUACAAGAAGACCACAGCGUUAUCAUUCCAGUUCCUAAGUAAAAGAAUAAACAAUCCAAAGUGCCAGGAUCAGUGUGCCAAACACGACGAGACAGGAGUCGACAGCAAUGAAAGGCCAAGACGUUCAGCCCUAACUAAUGGGAAGAACGCGAGAGCAUCGUAAUGAUCGAGAGAGCCAAAGCCGACAACCGGAACGCGUCCUUGUUCCUCCUGGCCAACGGCGAUCCCGUGCCUUUCUCCGUGAACCCGUCCUCGCACGUCGUCGAUGCGUCCAUGACCGAGCUCAGGUCGAUGUUUGCGUCCCCGUACCUCUCGUCCUUGUAGGCUCUGAUGGCCUCUGCAAGCGUCGGGACCACGUCAGAGUACAGCUCCAAGCAAUCUUGCAAGCAUGCUCUGACGGAUGGAUCCAUCUUCUUGCUCUUCAGAAGCUUCUCUGUGUAAGACCUCGUGCGUGUCACGUUGUGCCGCAACAGCUUGAUGGAGACGAGGCCGAGCCCUCGGAGGUUGUCGCAGUGGCAGUACGGGUUCGACUCGAGCGACGCGACGCAGAACUUGUAGCUGACGUUGGGGUCUUCUUGCGCGCAUUUCUUGCACGUUUCGUAGAUUAUGUUGGUGCUGCCGCCAUCUGCAGAAGCAGCGUGGAGGG